UUUUUUUUAUUUUUUUAUUUUCUGUUUUUUGCACAGGUUACAAAAUGUAUAAUUGGACAAAAUAUAGACAGCACACAUCAACAACAGAUUCAUCGAAUACAAUAGAAGAUUAGUCUCUGAAUACAAUUCAUCAUUUUAGUCUCCGAAUACAAUUCAUCAUAUUAGUCUCCGAAUUGAAAAGACCGAACAAAGAUAGAACAUUAUAUUACAAGUCUCGAGACCGCGAGUUUGUCUUCACAUUACAAGUCGAUAUCGAUCAUCUAAACUACCAUCACAUAGAAGAGAGCUGCGGUCAUCACGAUGAGCAUCAUCACGAUGAAACUCGUCUUCAUCCGGUUCCUCCAACGCUCCCUCCCCUCUCCCGCUAGAUAGCGGGCGUAUCUAGAUUCGGCCUCGGCCCUAGUGGCGUACCCUUUGUAACUGUUACCGCUGAAUCGGUGAACCUGUCUCCGACACUCCUCCCAGUCGUCGUAGACUCCGGGAACCUUACCCUUGUACACGACAUACCACGGCAUCGCUAUGCAGUAGCCAAACGAAACGUUAGUACCAAUUCACAGACAAUACAUAAGCAAUAUAUAAGUAUGCAACAGAAUGAUCGGAAGAGAAAAGCAAGACAUUAAUAGCAUCGAUUACAUCUAAGUUGAAGGACUCUCGAAACCAAAGAGACAUACUACAAGUUCAUUAAAGUGUAAUUACAACAUGAGCCAAUCGAUGUUUCAGAACUAGACACAGCAUCACUGCUUUCGACUCGACUCAAGGGACCGGAGCGUGGAUGAAGCCGCCGUCUAUCGUGGGAGUCAUGAAACAACGGGCGUUGUCAGCCUGCAUUUGUAGGAUUGUGUCGAUGUCACUGUUGGACGGUUGAUUUCUGAGGUAGAACUGCCCCGAGGUACGAAGGACAUCUUGAUGGAUGAUUUCCGCAAACUCCGACUGGAUGCGAAAGAAUUCUUGUCUGAUGUCCGCGUCCUGGAUUGCUGACACGCUCGCGGCCCAAUCUUUGAGUCUACUCGGUAGCAGUAGUUGAUGAUGGUCCCGUACGAUCGCCCGCAUGUGAUGGAUGGCGUAGUAGGCACCCUUCUGACCGCCAGGCGGCUGCUUGACGCAGCAGAACGUCGUAUUGUGGGAGAACACGUGCUUGCCGUACUUACGAAUAGGCCUGGUGAAGGUGCCUCCAGAUUUGACGUAGCCGGGGAGAACAUCAUCAAGAACCUUCUUGACAUUUGUGUAGUCUACAUUUGACUGACGGUCCGGGUCGAAAUACGUGGCCAUGGAAUAUUUGGGGCUUAGGAGGAUGAGCGUGCAAUGUGUGUCACUGCAGAAAACACGGAAUGUUAAAAGAAAAACAAUCGAAAUCUAAGAAUUCAUAUGUUACGGGGCGGUUGAGGGGAGGACUUACUCGGGAAAGUAAGGCACGAGGAAGUUGUCCUUAUCUUGGUUUGCCAGAAUGACGCUUCGAGGUAAGAACUCGCGACUUGCCGGUCCCCAGCGCUGCCCAAGAUCUUGGCACGCAUGUAGAAGGGGUCGACUAUCACGAUGUCCGGGGUCUUGUCGCGAAUGAUCCGCAUCUCCAUACUCAGCGAAAAUAGCCGAACGAAGGUGUAGUGCAGCGGAUGAAGGUUCAACAUAGCGUGGAUGUCAUCAAACCGCAGGACGAUCGUACCCCCGAUGGAGUUAUCCACAAAGCCCUUGCCCCUGGCACCUUGGCCGCGAAAACCGGGUAUGCCACAUCCUUCUCUCGGAGACGCCGCUUCUCCAAAGAAAGAACACUGUCAUGCAGACUCCGCAUAGCACCGGUUGCAGCAUCGAGCAUAUUUCUCGGUAGCAUCGGCCUACCCGCCACAUGCACCCUCCUCGAGAUAUCCGCAGUUGAAGGUGGCCCGUCCUGAGCACGGAUCGUACUCGGUGCCGGCUGGCCCGCACCCUUGUUAGUCUUUCUUUUGCGUGCCUUCUUCUUGAUCUCCUGUAAUGGGACCGAGUUCUGCUCACAGACCGCCUUCUUGAGUGUGUUGGGGCUGAUCAUAUUUCGCACCUUGCCUAUCUGAGGCUCGGUGAAGUCAGCAGCUGGAGGCGUCUCCUGAGAGCUGAACUGCAGACGACGCCUGUUGCAACUUGGCUUCUCCGCGGUACCAGCUAGAUCGCACACGUCUUUUGUUGGGUUGGGUUCUUGAGAAGGAGGCCCCAUGAAGUCGCCACCGUCCCCAUGAUCGGCAAAGUACUGAUUGACGUUGGCAAAUGUAUCGUCGUCGUCGUCGUUCUGAUCCUGUGCCAUAUGCAUGUUUGGAUCCAGUGGCAUAGGGAUGUCCGGCACCGUUGCGGCGGUCUUGCCAUGGGGCCGACUUGGCGCCGGCACGACUGGCGGUGUUGUCUUUGGGGUGGUGUCCCCCGCCCCCAAAUGAAUCUGGCUCUUCGGCCAAAGCAGGGGCUAGCUUAGGCAGGCGCUAAGGUUCAUCACGUCAUCAUCGUCGGCCCCGAUGGGUCGAAUCGGAGGUAACACCUCGUCGCAGCCUGGCAGCACCCGAACCAGUUGAACCCUAAACAAGUUGGGUGGCAUCUGGGUACCGUGGAACAAGGGGUUGCCCGGUUGAACAAUUUUGCCCUUGGCGACAUCGACCAACUCGUUGUUCACGAAGUGCAGGAGAGUGCACGGAACGUCGGCGGCGCCCUGCGAAAACAUGUAGGGCGUUAGGGAUGCCCAGUCAAAGGCAAGGAGAUGAAGUCCUCGGCCGAGAGAGGCUUAAUUAGUUACCGUGAUGAUGGCGUCGAGCUCGGCUAAUGUCGCGGCACCGCCAACGGCGGGCGUGCAGUUGACGGAGGGGCCGCUUGCUGCAGAGGUGCCGGCCGGCGUACACCCGGGUGCAUUAAGCUCCCGUGCCAGCGUCGGAGACACCAAUGCCGGCUCCGCCGGAGACACCAAUGGCCCCGCCAUCGCGUUCUGCGAGUUGCUGGCCGUGAAGCUAGGAAUCGGGGGCGGCCCCUGUUGGCCGCCCGCAAUCCACGCACUAAUCCCCUGGAUCAAGGUAGGCACAAUGGCGGUGAUCGUCGCUCCGAGUUGUUGUUGCACUUGCUCUUGGACAAUCUCCGGAAUCCGCGCCACCUGUGCCCUGAGUUCUUGAACCUCGCGCGCCUGGCUUUCCGAGCUGGUCUUUUUCUCCUUUCGCCCAGCAGUGUCAUAGUAUGAUGACCAUUUUGUCGACAAGCCUUUGCCGGCCACACGACCAGCUGAUGUCGGCUUACUGAGCUUAUCCUUGUUCUUCAUUACAUUCAACGCCCUAUUUAGAGUGGUGUCCCAAGGGUUGCUCUUAGUCGACCCCGCGCUACUGCUUUCAGUCGCCUGCGGAAGGAAUGUGAACCAUUUAGAAAUUUGGCUUCAUUAAUUAGAAUGCAACCAUAUGGAGCUAAUUACGAGGGGGUUUAUUCCUUACCAGAAUAAGCUCAAGCGCCCUGGUCUUCGGAUCCGUGGUAAGCUCCUUUGUUUUCGGGUCCUUCUUGUACCGGGCCCUGACAAAGUUCCUGGUCUGCUUGUCACCGUAUUUAUCGAAGAGGGGCGGUAGGCCUUGCUCGGCACGGUCCGCCUCCUCCUUGUCCCAUAUAGGCUCCGCCACUCUGUAACCGCCGGGACCGAGUGUGUGUUCCCCUAAGUUCAGCUCCCGCAUUUCUUUCCCCCCACUUACUUGAUUCGGAGUAUGCGGUGCUCGAGCAAUUGAUCUUGAAGUCGUUGUAGUCAUCUUCGGUGAUCGAAGGAUUUUUCUCCUUGAUCUUCUCAUAACUCUCACCUUUCUCGAUCAUUCUCUUCACAUUGCUUUUCCAAGUAGACAGGGCCUUGCUCAUCUUCGUGAGGGCAGCAUUGUUCACUUUAUUCCCUUUGAGGCUUGUGUUUUCAAAUUCAGCGGGGAACUUGUAUCGUUCGUGCAGCUUCGUGAAGAGGAGGUUGCGCAAAUUCCCUCGGUCAGGAUGCCUCAGGUUCUCGGUGUUGAUCGAGACGGUGCUCCGGAGAAUGCACCCGAGCUGAAGCGAGUACCCCUUGACUAUUCGUUCGGGCGCCGUUGGAUUCCCGUCGGAGUCCACUUCAGUAACUUCCUCCUUGAGGGUGCGGAGCACGGUCGGGCGCCGGUCCUUCCGUUGCCUCUUCGGUUGGCUGCCAUCUGUGCGUGCGCCGCCAUCAUCAGUGGUGGCAUCCUCGGCGGCACCAUCAGUGGUGGCAUCCUCGGCGGCACCAUCAGUGGUGGCAUCAGUGGGGUCAUCCUCGGCGGUACCAUCAGUGGUCUCAGGAUCGGUGGGGAAGGCGGCGUUCUCAUACAAGUGAGGUUGUUCCACCAUCUCCUGGGACAGCUUCCAGAAUGGCUUGACGCUCGAACCCCCGGCCUCAUCGUUGUUGGCCAUGUUUCUCUCUAAAUAGGAACAAAGUUUGGUCAAAAAGUUGGUUAUUGUCAAGGAACAAGAUCAUGGUCUCAUCAUUUAGGGUUUGUCGACACCGAGGCAUCCUAAAAGCUAAGCUUUUAUCAUUGAGGGUUUUUCGACGCCGAGGCACCCUAAAAGCCUAAGCUUUCAUCAUUUCGGUUUUUAUCGACACCGAGGCACCCUAAAAGCCAUGCAUUAGUCACAAGUACGCCGGGGCACUUGAUCCUACUUAAUUACCUACUAAGAUACCCCGGCCCAUGCAUUAGUCACAAGUACCCCAUAUGUCCUAUUUUUAGCAAAGUCAUGCUAAAAUUCACGAAAAUUUUUAGCAUGACCUUUGCUGAAAAUAGGACAUAUGGAGUACCCGAAUUUGCCGGAACGGAAGUUAAUCGACAUUCCGGCAAACUCAAGGGCCUCUCGGGUGGACAAGGCAAAAAAGGCCUCCAUCACAACAUGGAAAAUACAUUGGCAUGUGAAGAGGUGAAACAAUAUAUGCAUCUCCAAGCAGUAUCAUCUCCAAGCAGUAUCAUAUUUGUAAUGACUGAAAAUAUUUACUUCAGGAAAUAUUUACUACUGUAGUUUCUGUUACAAACAAAAAAAAGACUGAAGUUUGUCCUAGCUAUAUUUCAGGAUGAUUUUUCAGUUGCUCAUGCUUUUUACAAAUUGUAGCUACUGUUUUUUAUACCUAAACAAAAUUGCCCUAGCUAUAUUUGCUACUGUUUUUAUACCUAAUUUUUUGCUACUGUUUUUUUAAUUUGCUACUGCUUUUUUUAUUUGCUACUGCUUUUUUAUACAUACACCACCAAAGUCCAAAGAGUAACCACUUAUAAGCUACCAGGAGUAAGUAACUAACUAAAUACACUUCUAUAACAAAAUAAAUCAGAAACUUAGUUUUCAGUGUAAUGAAACUAAUUUGGCGUUGUAGGUCUUGAUAUAUUUUUCUUAUGGACUUGGUCAAAUUUGAAUAAGGACAAAGCUAGAACUUCAAUUAAUUUGGAAUGGAGAGAGUAAUCCACAAUAGAUAAACUGAAGCAUACUAAAUGAAGACAAGCUCUUGGAUGCUACACCUUAGUUUUAGAAUAGACAAACAGACACGUUCUAACUUCUAAUGGAAAACAUGGUUAGAUAGAUGAUUACAAAUUGCACAUGAAAGAACAGGGGUAAAUAUUGUUAACAGAAGACAGCCAAACAAAUAUAUUGCUCUUUAUGAGGUUAUGAGGUUACAGAGUACAAACUUAACUUGAGAAUGACAGUGUUCAAAAUAGUCAAUGAAAAAUUCAUCAGUACUGAACAUAAUUAACAGAAGUUAUUUUGAUGGUAUAUAAGAAUAUUUAUGGAACAAACAACAUGAAGAUAGCUGCAAUCUUAAACAAAAAUCAAAGCACACUUGUCUGUAAAAAGCUAACAAACUAUGUGAUGCUUCCAGCUAAUAUGUUCAGAGAACAGGACCAUGAGAAAAAAUAACAGAAACUAUAUGAUUUAACUGGUUUCAAAACAUGAAGUCCUAAAAGCUCUUGUUUUUGACUUUGCAUCCACUGAUAAAGAAGAAUCAGAGUAGUGAGCACGACUGUAAAUGUUCUGAAAAUUAAAAGAAAAGAGAGAUUGCAUGUUCAUCUUAGCUGCAGUCCUGAUCGUGAGAAGUACAUCCUAUAUGUUUUACCAAGGGAACAGUAGGGAUAACAGAAAGUCACUGUUGUCACUGUCCUAGUGAAGAAUUUUGUGCUAUCUACCUUCUUGGUUUACCCCCUAGUGCUUCGAUACAUAUGCAAUUACACAACUGAACAGUAGUAUGCUGGUUUUACUUACAUGAACAAAAUUUAUGUUGGGAGCAGGGAGUAUCCCUGCUGUACGUGUCAGAAAAAAUAUGGUUGAUUCUAGAGCUAAGUUGAUACUCCAAGAGGUGUUCUACGCAUGGGAGCUCCAUUUAAAUCAAACAUAGUAUGCAGUUCCCAAACAAAAUGUACUCAGGAGUCCAAAAGCGAAGUUCAGAGACAGAUUGUUGUAUUAGGAGCAGAGAGGGAGAGGUGGGAAAUGGAGGCGGGGGUGAUUUGGAUGGGGUACCUGCGGGCGUAGAAGACAGGGGCGUCGUCGGGGACGAAGACGUCGACGCUGUGGAUGUUGGUGGUGGUGCGACGAGGUCCGAGAGGCGACGAGGUCCGGGUGGUGGUGGUGCUCCGAGGAGACGAGGAGAGCGGCGCCAAGGAGACGAGGACGACGGGGCGGCGGGGCGGCGGCGUCGGGAGAGGAGAGGGCGGCGUCGCGGUGUCGGGGCGUCGGGGCGGAGACGAGGACGACGGGGCGGCGUCGAGGCAGCGGGGCAGCGGCGUCGGGAGAGGAGAGGGGAAGGGGAUCGAGGGCGAGGGCAAGGGAGAGAGAGGGGAUAGGUUAUCCAACAGGUACAUCCAUACUAAUGGCGCACCUCACCCUGGUGCGCCAUAAGUACAUCCAUACUAAUGGCGCACCUCACCCUGGUGCGCCAUAAGUACAUCCAUACUAAUGGCGCACCUCACCCUGGUGCGCCAUUAGUAUUUUUUUUUAUUUCUGCUCGAGCCAACAGGUUAUCUUCCACCUUACCUGAUCCACACCAAGUUCCCUCUACUAGCUCGACUGGUCAGUAGCCAGUUCUCACACCAGGAGGUCCUGGGUUCGAUUCCCAGGCUCCACAAUUUUUUUAUGCAUUUAAAAUGCUGUUUGAUAUUUAUUUGUGUUUAAAUAUGUUCAAACUUGUUUAAAUCAUAACAGUAAUAUUUUUUUAUAAGACAGUAAUAAUUUUUUUUAAAAAUAUCAUCAAACAGUAAUGCCGGUGGAGCGGGGGAGGGUGCGCGGGGUGCGGGGGGCCGGUGGACCGGGGGGUGCUCGGCGGCGAGGGGGACCGGAUCUGGCGAGGUGGGAUAGCUAGCGAUCGAGAUGGAGGGGGAUCGAGAUCGAGUGUCUAUGAAAUUUAAAAAUAUUCAUGAUAGUUCAAAAAGUGCCCAUGAAAUACAAUCGAGAAAUGAAGGCUACGAUUUAAAUACAGUCGAUCUUAGCUAGCUAUCUGUUCACAAUCUUCUUGCCCUUCUUUUUCGCAAAUGGAGUUCUUCUGUGGAACGGACGUCCUUUAGGUAGGGUGGUCCUGCUUCUUCUUGUGGUGUAUGCUGCUACUUCAUCAUCGUCGUCAUGUUCGAUUCUCGGGUCGCCGUACUUGUCGAAGUCUUGCUCAUUGGCUACUCCAUCCAUUCCGAUGAUCUUCCUUUUGCCUCUCCUCACGACAACACGACUGGGCUUUGACGGGUCGGUAAUGAAGAAGCAUUGGUCCACUUGGGAAGCCAGUACCCAUGGCUCAUUUUUCGCGGUGACGUUUGCGCCUGCGGUCUUGGAUUUGGCUUCGGGUAUAACCAUGGUGGUGAAAUACCGGUCUUCUUUUAGGACGCUCUUGGCCCAUCUGACACGGAACAUCGGGACCUUCUCUCCAGCGUAGCUCAGCUCCCAGAUCUCCUCGAUCCUUCCGUAGUAUCUGUCCUUGUCGUUACCGGUGUAGGAUUCCAUCGUUACCCCGGAGUUCUGAUAACCAUCGCUCUUCAUGUCCUUGGCCUCGGUGUAGAAUGUGUAGCCGUUGAUAUCGUACGCCUCAUAGGUCAUCAGGUUGUGCUCGGUGCCCUGUGACAAGGCGAAUAUGAGUUGUUCUUCCGCGGAAGAAUCCUCAUGUAAAGGGUACGACGGAAGCUUCUGCUUGAACCAACGCGUGAAACAUGAGUUGUGCUCUUUGAGUAUAUGUCCGUCCGUCCUCUGUUGGCCUCGGUCAUUGUACGUCUUCUUAAUAAAGGUUUUGUGCUCUACCACCCAAGGAUCGACCACGUCUAUGUGUUGUAGCGCGACUAGGUUUGCUCUUUCAAAGUCGGCGAGUUGACCCUCGAAGUCGACAUGCAUUUCGCGGCGACCCUCACGGUGACCCCAUCCAGCGAGCCUGCCGAGGUGCCUGUUGACGGGCAGACCAACGGGGUUCUCGAUGCCUAGAUAAUUCGUGCAGUAGGAGAUGCACUCUUCGGUCAGAAAGCCCCUGGCUAUGCUUCCCUCUGGACGUGACAUGUUGCGAACGUAUCCUUUGAUGACACCAUUCAUCCUUUCGAACGGCAUCAUGCUGUGCAGGAACGUCGGCCCGAGUUGGAUGAUAUCGUCCAUGAUAUGGACCGGCAGAUGCACCAUAACGUCGAAGAAUGCGGGCGGGAAGUACAUCUCAAGAUCGCAUAGUAUCACCACGAUCUCUUCCUGUAGCCUUCUGAGUUGCCUCACGCCAACAGACUUUCGAGAGAUGACGUCGAAAAAGUUGCAUAGGCCAAAUAGCGUUUCACGGACGUGCGCGUCCAUGAUCCCACGGAUUGCAACUGGAAGUAUCUGCGUCAUCAGCACGUGACAGUCAUGAGACUUCAUCCCGCUGAACUUCAGCUUCGCUAGGUCUAGGUAUCUGCUUAUCUUCCCCGCGUAACCGUAAGGAAGUUUUACUCCUACGAGGCAGGUGAAAAACUGCUCGAUCUCCUCCUGACUUAGAGUGAAGCACGCGGGAGGGUAGUCAUUUCCGGUCUUCUUGGCCUUUUUGCCUUUGCGACGACUUUCCGUGUCCUGCUUCGCCUCAUCAUCAUCAUCAUCAUCAUCAUCAUCAUAUAUAGCGUGAAGCUCCUGCCUGAUGCCCAUUGAUUUCAAGUCUGCCCUUGCUUUCGGCCCAUCUUUGGUCCUCUCUGGCAUGUUGAGCAGGGUACCAAGCAGACUCUCGCACACGUUCUUCGUGAUAUGCAUGACAUCAAGGCUGUGAGGCACACGGUGGAUCUUCCAGUACGACAAGUCCCAGAAAACAGACCUCGUUUUCCAUACCUUCAGCAGCGGCUCUGGCGCCUUUCGCUUCUUUCCCGGCUCUGGCGCCUUUUGCUUCUUUCCCGGCAGUGGGCAGUCUUUCCAAUUUUUCAACAGCUCGUCUAUUUCCUCGCCGCUCCUCGUACGCGGGCGUCCUCGGGGUUCGGUUUCACCAUCGAAUAGAUCCUUGCGUUUUCUCCACGGGUCAUCGUCGCGAAGCCACCUUCGAUGUCCCAUGAACACGGUUUUCGAAGACCCGGGAUCUCUAUCUAGCUGGCGAUACGUUGUGUCAUCCAUGCACCUGACGCAUCCAGAAAAUCCGUGGACCACCUGCCCCGCGACAUAUCCGUAACCGAGAUAGUCGUGCACCGUCGUGAGCAGCGCGGCUCUCAUAGGGAAAUAUUCUUUCUCUACGGCGUCCCACGUAUUGGCUGGCGUUUUCCACAUCGUGUCAAGCUCCUCUUUCAGCAGCCCCAGAUACAGAUUGAUGUCGUUCCCUGGUUGUUUCGGUCCUUCGAUUAGCAUACUCAUGUGAAUGUACUUUCUCUUCAUGCACAACCAGGGGGGAAGGUUUUACAUCCACACAAACACAGGCCAGGUGCUAUGUGUGCUUCUCUGGCUGCCAAACGGAUUGACUCCAUCGGUGCUCGCACCCAGCACGAUGUUCCUUGGAUCGUUCCCAAAUUCUAGGUCUUCGAAGUUCAACGCUUGCCACUGGCUCGCAUCCUUAGGGUGACUCAGCAUCUUGUCUUUUUUAUCUAUCUCCGGAUCAUUUGCGUCAUCUUCUCGCUUCUUCUCCUCCCUAUCCGCGUGCCAACGCAGGAGCUUUGCUACCUUAGGGUCCGCGAAAUACCGCUGCAGAUGAGGAGUGAUCGGAAAGUACCACACCACUUUUCGAGGAGCUUUCUUCCUCUUCUUGUAUCGAGUGACGCCGCACACCGGACAUAUGGUAGACUCCGCGUGCUCGUCCCGAUAAAUGAUGCAAUUGUUCAUGCACACAUGGUAUUUCACGUGCGGUAAAUCCAGAGGACACACGAUUUUCUUCGCCUCCUCCAAACUGGUUGGGCACUUGUUCCCCUUGGGAAGACGUUCGUGCCAGAAUGACAUGUUCUCGUCGAAGCAUGCGGCGGUCAUUUUGUGUUUUACCUUCAUCUCCAGAGCCAUGAGCGGUACUUUCAGGCGGGUAUCCUCGGGCCUGCAUCCUUCAUACAAUGGAGUAACCGCGUCUAACUCAAGUUGAUCCAUCUUGGCUUUCUCUCGGGCGGCAGCUCUUGCGUUAUCCGUCUGCUUGAGAAGCAGCUCUUGAAUAUGAGGGUCCUGCACCCAGCCCAUCGAUGGUCCAGCGUCGUCUGCUCCGCCGGCAUCAUCAUCUUCAUGAUCAUGCCCGUCGUCUGCUCCGGCAUCUUCCUCAUCAUCAUGUCCUGCAUCUUCUACAUGAUGACUGUGUACAGCAUCACCGUCGUGAUCAUCUCUUGGGGAUUCUUCGUCUUCUCGCCCGCCCGAGCCGCGGUGGUUGUCUUGCUGCCCUUCCUCAUUUCUUGCCCGACCCCCAUGGACGACUUCGUAGUCAUCUUCAUCACCUUGCCACCGAUAGCCAUCCAUGAAACCACGCAAGAGCAGGUGGUCCCGCACCUGCCCGGAUUCCGGGUCCGCAAUAAGGCUCUUCAGCUUGCAUCUUCGACACGGACAUCUUAUCUCCGUCUCGUUCUUUUGAAGCAUCUUGGCCUUCACGGACCUCAAAAACCUAUUCACGAUGCCUUCGGUCAUCAUGCGGACCAUGGUCGCCUGCGGGGUAGAGCAAAACGAUAUUUUAGAACCAAGAAAAAAUUUGGCAUGACUUUCCCUAAAAAUAGGACCAAAAAGAAUGCUUAAUGCCAAAAUUCUCGCCGAAACGGAAAUGAAUCAACAUUCCGGCAAAAUAUUGGCAACUAUCGCAUUUCAAAUACCGGUACACCUCCAAACACAAACACAUAUGCAACACCACAAACAUAUGCAACACCACGAACAUACAUAGAUCUAGCUAGGCCAUAAAAAGUGCAUGUGCACAUUGUUGUAGGGAGAACAACAUAAAUAUAGCUUCCCCCCUUACUUACCUAUCAAAACAAGGUAAUUUAACCACUUAAAUUGAAUGAAUCUAUGGUGGAAAUGAGGUGAAAAAGAGGAGGCACCCGAGACAAGGAGGAGGUGGAGAGAAUGAAGUGGGGAGAAAGUGAGUGUGGGUAGGAGAGGCUGUCCAAAAUAUCUUGUUGCUGCCCACUUACUAAUGGCGCACCAACUCUAAAUGCGCCGUUCGUAAUCCAGGUUACUAAUGGCGCACCUUCUGGUGGUGCGCCAUUAGUAUGUUUGGACAGGCGCACUAGUUAAAAAUUUUUUGAUACUAAUGGCGCACCCUGGGCCAGGUGCGCCAUUACUAGUUACAACUAGUAAUGGCGCACUGUGUCUGGAUGCGCCAUUAGUAUGUUUGGACAGGCGCACUAGUUAAAUUUUUUUUGAUACUAAUGGCGCACCCUGGGACAGGUGCGCCAUUACUAGUUACAACUAGUAAUGGCGCACUGUGUCUGGAUGCGCCAUUAGUAUGUUUGGACAGGCGCACUAGUUAAAAAAAUAUUUUUUUUGGAUACUAAUGGCGCACCCUGGGCCAGGUGCGCCAUUAGUAUGUUUGGACAGGCGCACUAGUUAAUUUUUUUUGAUACUAAUGGCGCACCCUGCGCCUGGUGCGCCAUUAGUAGUUUCAACUCUAAUGGCGUAUCAGAAGGUGGUGCGCCAUUAGUAUAUACUAAUGGCGCACCACUUGUCUGGUGUGCCAUUAGUGUCAAUCCCAUCUAUAGCCCUUUUUCUAGUAGUGUAGGGAUCAAACCCUAACAAAACUAACUCGAUUACAUGAUAAAUCUCAUCCAACCCAUCACCGUCCAGCAAGCCUACGAUGGAAUUACUCAUGCACAGCGGUGAGCAUCAUGAAAUUGGUGAUGGAGGAUGGUUGAUGAUGACGACGGCGAUGGAUUCCCCUCUCCGGAGCCCCGAACAGACUCCAGAUCAGCCCUCCCGAGAGAGAUUAGGGCUGGGCGGCGGCUCCGUAUCGUAAAAUGCGAUGAAUCCUUUUCUCUGAUUUUUUUCUCCCUGAACGUGAAUAUAUAGAGUUGGAGUUGAGGUCGGUGGAGCCUCAGGGGGCCCACAAGACAGGGGGGCGCGCCCAGGGGGGCAGGCGCGCCCUCCACCCUCGUGGACAGGGUGUGGGCCCCCUGGAGUUGAUUCCUUUGCCAGUAUUUUUAUUAAUUCCAAAAAAUAUUCUCCGUGAAGUUUCAGGUCAUUCCGAGAACAUUUAUUUCUGCACAAAAAUAACACCAUGGCAAUUCUGCUGAAAACAGCGUCAGUCUGGGUUAGUUCCAUUCAAAUCAUGCAAGUUAGGGUCCAAAACAAGGGCAAAAGUGUUUGGAAAAGUAGAUACAAUGGAGACGUAUCACUCUACAGGUGUCUCCGAAGCUGUUUAUUGGGUUGGCAUAGAUCGAGAUUAGAAUUUGUCACUCCAUGUAUCGGAGAGGUAUCUCUGGGCCCUCUCGUUAAUGCACAUCACUAUAAGCUUUGUAAGCAAUGUGACUAAUGAGUUAGUUACGGGAUGAUGCAUUACGGAACGAGUAAUAAGACUUUCCGGUAACGAGAUUGAACUAGGUAUUUGUUGGAAAUAUGCCCUAGAGGCAAUAAUAAAAUGGUUAUUAUUAUAUUUCCUUGUUCAUGAUAAUUGUCUAUUGUUCAUGCUAUAAUUGUGUUCUCCGAAAAUCGUAAUACAUGUGUGAAUACAUAGACCACAACAUGUCCCUAGUGAGCCUCUAGUUGACUAGCUCGUUGAUCAAUAGAUGGUUACGGUUUCCUGACCAUGGACAUUGGAUGUCAUUGAUAACGGGAUCACAUCAUUAGGAGAAUGAUGUGAUGGACAAGACCCAAUCCUAAGCAUAGCACAAGAUCGUGUAGUUCGUCUGCUAAAGCUUUUCUAAUGUCAAGUAUCAUUUCCUUAGACCAUGAGAUUGUGCAACUCCCGGAUACCGUAGGAAUGCUUUGGGUGUGCCAAACGUCACAACAUAACUGGGUGGCUAUAAAGGUGCACUGCGGGUAUCUCCGAAAGUGUCUGUUGGGUUGGCACGAAUCGAGACUGGGAUUUGUCACUCCGUGUGACGGAGAGGUAUCUCUGGGCCCACUCGAUAGGACAUCAUCAUAAUGAGCUCAAUGUGACCAAGGAGUUGAUCACGGGAUGAUGUGUUGCGAACGGCUAAAGAGACUUGCCGGUAACGAGAUUGAACAAGGUAUAGGGAUACCGACGAUCGAAUCUCGGGCAAGUAUCAUACCGGUAGACAAAGGGAAUUGAGUACGGGAUUGAUUGAAUCCCGACAUCGUGGUUCAUCCGAUGAGAUCAUCGUGGAAUAUGUGGGAGCCAACAUGGGUAUCCAGAUCCCGCUGUUGGUUAUUGGCCGGAGAGAUGUCUUGGUCAUGUCUGCAUGCCUCCCGAACCCGUAGGGUCUACACACUUAAGGUUCGAUGACGCUAGGGUUAUAGGGAAAGUUUGUACGUGGUUACCGAAUGUUGUUCGGAGUCCCGGAUGAGAUCCCGGACGUCACGAGGAGCUCCGGAGGUAAAGAAUAAUAUAUAGGAAGUGAGGUUUUGGCCACCGGAAGUGUUUCGGGCGUCACCGGUAAUGUACCGGGACCACCGGAGGGUUCCGGGGGUCCACCGGGAGGGGCCACCAGCCCCGGGGCUUGCAUGGGCCAAGAGUGGGAAGGGACCAGCCCCUGAGUGGGCUGGUGCGGCUCCCACCAGGGCCCAAGGCGCAGAUGGGCCUAAGGCCCACCCUAGGGCGCGCCCCCCUCUCUUUCCCUCUUGGCCGCCCCCCUCCAUCCCAUCUAGGGCUGUCGCCCCCCUAGGGGUGGGAACCCUAGAGGGGGCGCACCCUCCUCCCCUCCUCCUAUAAAUACUGGGGGGUUUGGGGCUGCCUAAGACACGAGUCUCUCUCUCUCGGCGCAGCCCUACCUCUCCACAUCCUCGUUCUCCAUAGGGCUUGGCGAAGCCCUGCUGGAAACCACGCAGCUCCACCACCACCACGUCGUCGUGCUGCUGCUGGAGUUGUCUUCCCCAACCUCUCCCUCCUCCUUGCUGGAUCAAGGCGCGGGAGACUUCACCGGGCUGCACGUGUGUUGAAUGCGGAGGCGCCGUUGUUCGGCGCUUAGAUCGGAAUCGACCGCGAUCUGAAUCAUUGCGUGUACGACUCCUCCAACCGCAUUCUUGCAACACUUCCGCAACGCGAUCUUCAAGGGUAUGAAUAUGCACUCCCCUCUCUCUCGUUUCUAGUCUCUCCAUAGAUUGAUCUUGGUGAUGCGUAGAAUUUUUUUAAUUUCUGCAUCGAUCCCCAACAGUGGCAUCAUGAGCUAGGUCUAUGCGUAGUUUCUAUGCACGAGUAGAACACAAGUUGUUGUGGGCGUCGAUUUUGUCAAUUUACUUGCCGUUACUAGUCUUAUCUUGAUUCGGCGGCAUCGUGGGAUGAAGCAGCCCGGACCGACCUUACACGUACGCUUACGUGAGACAGGUUCCACCGACUGACAUGCACUAGUUGCAUAAGGUGGCUAGCGGGUUGAUGUCUACUACACAACCUUCUUCUUGUAGACGUUGUUGGGUGAUACGUCUCCAACGUAUCUAUAAUUUUUGAUUGCUUCAUGUCUUAGUCCUUUCGAAUUUCUAAGUUGGGAAUUUGAUAUCGACUAAAUCAAGAAACUCGAUUUCACUAUGAUAUGACCACUGAACCCUUUGAUGCAACAUUUCUUGUUUCCAGAAGAUCUCGGAUGGUUUCUGAAGCUUCCAUGAUCUUGUAAAAGAAAGGAACCCUUUCUAUAAGUCAUGAAGACGUGGACCAAAAGACUAAGAAACUGCACAAUCUAUUGAUUGACUGAAAAACUCAAGCUGAGUAACUUGCUUGAAUGAUCGCUCCGGCUCUGGGCCGUCUGAUCUUCGGGAUGCAGAAUAGGGGAUCACUUGCCAACCGUUAGUUAGGACCAGUGAAAACCCAUGCUUGGUGAAGGCGAAGUUCAGUUUGGAGAUCUAACAAUUCCUUAUGUCGUGUAUCCUCGAUUGAUGCAGCCUCAGAUGCCUAUAUUAUAUUCUGUUUUGGACAUUAUUGGGCUUUAUUAUACACUUUUAUAUUAUUUUUGGGACUAACCUAUUAACCGGAGGCCCAGCCCAGAAUUGCUGUUGUUUUGCCUAUUUCAGAGUUUCGUAGAAAAAGAAUAUCAAACGGAGUCCAAACGGAAUGAAACCUUCGGGAACGUGAUUUUCAGAAUGAACGUGAUCCAGAGGACUUGGACCCUACGUCAAGACAUCAACCAGGUAGGCACGAGGUAGGGGGCGCGCCCUCCACCCUCAUGGGCCCCAUGUUGCUCCACCGACGAACUUCUUCCUCCUAUAUAUACCUACGUACCCCCAAACUACCAGAUACGGAGCAUAAAACCUAAUUCCACGGCGCAACCUUCUGUACCCGUGAGAUCCCAUCUUGGGGCCUUUUCCGGAGCUCCGCCGGAGGGGGAAUCGAUCACGGAGGGCUUCUACAUCAACACCAUAGCCUCUCCGAUGAUGUGUGAGUAGUUUACCUCAGACCUUCGGGUCUAUAGUUAUUAGCUAGAUGGCUUCUUCUCUCUCUUUGGAUCUCAAUACAAAGUUCUCCACGAUUCUCGUGGAGAUCUAUUCGAUGUAAUCCUCUUUUGCGGUGUGUUUGUUGAGACCGAUGAAUUGUGGGUUUAUGAUCAAGUUUAUCUAUGAACAAUAUUUGAAUCUUCUCUGAAUUCUUUUAUGUAUGAUUGGUUAUCUUUGCAAGUCUCUUUGAAUUAUCAGUUUGGUUUGGCCUACUAGAUUGAUCUUUGUUGCAAUGGGAGAAGUGCUUAGCUUUGGGUUCAAUCUUGCAGUGUCCUUUCCCAGUGACAGUAGGGGCAGCAAGGCACGUAUUGUAUUGUUGCCAUCAAGGAUAACAAGAUGGGGUUUAUAUCAUAUUGCAUGAAUUUAUCCCUCUACAUCAUGUCAUCUUACUUAAAGCGUUACUCUGUUCUUUUGAACUUAAUAAUCUAGAUGCAUGCUGGAUAGCGGUCGAUGUGUGGAGUAAUAGUAGUAGAUGCAGGCAGGAGUCGGUCUACUUGUCGCGGACGUGAUGCCUAUAUACAUGAUCAUACCUAGAUAUUCUCAUAACUAUGCUCAAUUCUGUCAAUUGCUCAACAGUAAUUUGUUUACCCACCGUAAUACUUAUGCUCUCGAGAGAAACCACUAGUGAAACCUAUGGCCCCCGGGUCUAUUUUCCAUCAUAUUUAAUCUCCCGACAACAAGCUAUUUCUGGUGCCGUUUUUAUUUUGCUUUCUUUACUUUGCAUCUUUAUCAUAAAAAUACCAAAAAUAUUAUCUUAUCAUAUCUAUCAGAUCUCACUCUCGUAAGUGACCGUGAAGGGAUUGACAACCCCUUUAUUGCAUUGGUUGCGAGGAUUUAUUUGUUUGUGUAGGUACGAGGGACUCGUGCGUGGCCUCCUACUGGAUUGAUACCUUGGUUCUCAAAAACUGAGGGAAAUACUUACGCUACUUUACUGCAUCACCCUUUCCUCAUCAAGGGAAAACCAACGCAGUGCUCAAGAGGUAGCAAGAACGAUUUCUGGCGCCGUUGCCGGGGAGUCUACGCAAAAGUCAACAUACCAAGUACCCAUCAGAAACCCUUAUCUCCCGCAUUACAUCAUUUGCCAUUUGCCUCUUCACCCUUGCUGUUUUAUUCGCCCUCUCUUUUCCGUUAGCCUCUUUUUUCGCUUGCUUCCUGUUUGCUCGUGUGUUGGAUUGCUUGCUUGUCAUGAUGGCUCAAGAUAAUACCAAAUUGUGUGACUUUACCAAUACCAACAACAAUGAUUUCCUUAGCACUCCAAUUGCUCCUCUUACCGAUACAGAAUCUUGUGAAAUCAAUACUGCUUUACUGAAUCUUGUCAUGAAAGAUCAAUUCGCCGGCCUUCCUAGUGAAGAUGCCGCUACCCAUCUAAAUAGCUUCGUUGAUUUGUGUGAUAUGCAAAAGAAGAAAGAUGUGGAUAUUGAUAUUGCUAAAUUGAAGCUAUUUCCUUUUUCGCUUAGAGAUCGUGCUAAAGUUUGGUUUUCAUCUUUGCCUAAAAAUAGUAUUGAUUCUUGGAAUAAGUGCAAAGAUGCUUUUAUCUCUAAGUAUUUUCCUCCCGCUAAGAUCAUCUCUCUUAGAAACGAUAUUAUGAAUUUUAAGCAACUUGAUCAUGAACAUGUUGCACAAGCUUGAGAGAGGAUGAAAUUAAUGAUACGUAAUUGCCCUACACAUGGUUUGAAUUUGUGGAUGAUUAUACAAAAUUUUUAUGCCGGAUUGAAUUUUGCUUCUAGAAAUCUUUUAGAUUCGGUCGCGGGAGGCACUUUUAUGGAAAUCACUUUAGGAGAAGCUACUAAACUCCUAGAUAAUAUUAUGGUAAAUUAUUCUCAAUGGCAUACUGAAAGAUCUACUAAUAAAAAGGUGCAUGCGAUAGAACAAAUUAAUGUUUUGAAUGGAAAGAUGGAUGAACUUAUGAAAUUAUUUGCUACUAAAAGUGUUUCUUCUGAUCCUAAUGAUAUGCCUUUGUCUACUUUGAUUGAGAAUAAUAAUGAAUCUAUGGAUGUGAAUUUUGUUGGUAGGAAUAAUUUUGGUAACAACGCGUAUAGAGGAAACUUUAAUCCUAGGCCGUACCCUAGUAAUUCCUCUAAUAAUUAUGGUAAUUCCUACAACAAUUCCUAUGGAAAUUUUAAGAAGAUGCCUUCUGAAUUUGAUACUAUUGUUAAAGAAUUUAUAAAUUCGCAAAAGAAUUUCAAUGCUUUGCUUGAGGAAAAAUUGCCUAAGAUUGAUGAAUUGGCUAGGAACAUUGAUAGAAUUUCUCUUGAUGUUGAUUCCUUGAAACUUAGAUCUAUUCCACCUAAGCAUGAUAUUAAUGAGUCUCCCAAAGCCAUGAGAAUUUCCAUUGAUGAGUGCAAAGAAAGAACCGCUAGGAUGCGUGCUAAAAAAGAUUGCUUUGUGAAAGUGUGUUCUUCUAAUUUCUAUGAAAAUAAAGAUGAAGAUCUAAAAGUUAUUGAUGUGUCCCCCAUUAAAUCUUUGUUUUGCAAUAUGAAUCUUGAUAAUGAUGGGACUGAAUAUGAUCCACCUUUACCUAGAAGGCGUUCCAAAAAUUCGAAGUUUUUAGAUCUUGAUGCUAAAAUUGGUAAAAGUGGAUUGAAGAGAUCAAAACUCUAGAUAUUAAUGAACCCACUAUUUUGGAUUUCAAGGAAUUUAAUUAUGAUAAUUGCUCUUUGAUAUAUUGUAUUUCCUUGUUGCAAUCCGUGCUAAAUUCUCCUCAUGCUUAUAGCCAAAAUAAAGCUUUUACCAAACAUAUCGUUGAUGCUUUGAUGCAAUCUUAUGAAGAAAAACUUGAGUUGGAAGUUUCUAUCCCUAGAAAACUUUAUGAUGAGUGGGAACCUACUAUUAAAAUUAAAAUUAAAGAUCAUGAAUGCUAUGCUUUGUGUGAUUUGGGUGCUAGUGUUUCCACGAUUCCAAAAACUUUGUGUGAUUUGCUAGGUUUCCGUGAUUUUGAUGAUUGCUCUUUAAACUUGCACCUUGCCGGGUACGGCCCGAGGUCUCCUGGCCGGGUACGGCCCGAAGUCGGUUUGACUUUUUUCUUAAAUAAUUCCGAUGUGCAGAAAAAGAAAGAAAAGAAAUAGUAAACGGACUCCAAAAAUCCCGAAAUAAAUUUUCUCCGUCCUCUAAAAAUAGGCCGGACAAGGUGAACAUUUAUUUGGGCCUAAAAUGCAAUUUUGAAAAACGCAUAUUUUUCCUAAUUCAAAUAAAAUAGCGACAAAACUCCGAAUAAAAAUCUUAUUUGAUUUUAAUAUUAAAUCUCUGAUAUUUCUUUAUUUUGAGGAAGUCUUUUUAUCCUCUCUCUUUUAUUUUUAAUAAAAGAAAUAUUUCAGAGAAAAAUAAUUAAAAUCAAAGAUCCUCUUUUCAAAAUUCGAGAAAACUCGAAUAUGAAAAUAACGAAAUCCCCAACUCUCUCCGUGGGUCCUUGAGUUGCGUAGAAUUUCUAGGAUGAACCAAAAUGCAAUAAAAUAUGAUAUGCAAUGAUGGUCUAAUGUAUAACAUUCCAAAUUGAAAAUUUGGGAUGUUACAAACCUACCCCCUUAAGAUGAAUCUCGCCCUCGAGAUUCGGGUUGGCUAGAAAAUAGGUGAGAGUGAUCCUUCCGUAGGUCUUCCUCUCGUUCCCAGGUGGCUUCAUCUUCGGUAUGGUGACUCCAUUGAACCUUGCAAAACUUGAUAACCUUGUUGCGCGUAACUCGGCUGGCAAACUCGAGUAUCUUGACUGGUUUCUCCUCAUAUGUCAAAUCGCUAUCCAACUGUAUCGCUUCUAGCGGCACUGUAUCUCUCAGAGGAAUAUCAGCCAUCUCUGCGUGGCACUUCUUCAACUGAGAAAUGUGGAACACAUCGUGAACUCCGGACAAUCCUUCGGGUAAUUCCAACUUGUAGGCAACUUCUCCCAUAUAUUCCAAAACUCUGUAUGGUCCCACAAAACAUGGCGCUAACUUUCCCUUAACUCCAAAGCGCUUCACUCCUCGAAGUGGGGAUACACGAAGAUACACUCUGUCUCCUACUUCAUAAACUGUCUCCUUGCGUUUAGAAUCCGCAUAACUCUUCUGCCUGGACUGGGCUACCUUGAGUCUAUCGCGAAUCAGCUUAACCUUCUCUUCAGACUCUUUAAUCAAAUCUGGUCCAAACAACUGUCGGUCUCCAACUUCGUCCCACAACAACGGUGUUCUGCACCUUCUUCCGUACAGUGCUUCGAAAUGGCCAUCUUCAAACUGGCUUGAUAGCUGUUGUUGUAAGAGAACUCUGCGUACGGCAAAUUAUCGUCCCAACUAGAUCCAUAGUCUAGCGCACAAGCUCUCAACAUGUCCUCCAGAAUCUGAUUGACUCUUUCAGUCUGUCCAUCCGUCUGCGGGUGAAAAGCUGUACUGAACUCUAGCCUGGUUCCCAAAGUUUCAUGCAACUGAUUCCAAAACUUUGAGGUAAACUGGGUUCCUUUAUCUGAUACAAUGGUCCUCGAAACUCCAUGCAGACAUACGAUCCUGGUCAUGUAUAUCUUUGCCAACUUAGCACUGGUGUAAGUGGUCUUCACUGGGAUGAAAUGGGCUACCUUCGUCAAACGAUCGACUACAACCCAUAUCGAGUCAUAGCCCGAACGAGUCCUGGGUAAUCCUGUGAUAAAGUCCAUGCCUAGUUUAUCCCACUUCCAUUCGGGUAUCGGCAAUGGUUGUAGCAAUCCGGCUGGCUUUUGACGCUCUGCCUUCACUCUCUGACAUACAUCACGAACUGCUACAUACUCUGCAAUAUCCUUCUUCAUUCCGGUCCACCAGAACCUAUCCUUCAAAUCCAGAUACAUCUUGGUAUUUCCUGGGUGAAUCGAAUAUGGCGAAUCAUGGGCCUCUUGCAGAAUCAACUUCCUGAUCUCCUGAUCAUUUGGCACAUAUACGCGGUCCUCAAACCAUAAGGUAUCGUGCUCAUCCUCACGAAAUCCUUUAGCCUUUCCUUUACUCAUCCUUUCCUUUAUCUCGACAAUCUCCUUGUCUGUCUUCUGAGCUUCUCUGAUCUUAUCCAUCAAGGUAGACUGAAUCUCCAAAGCUGCUACAUAACCUCUUGGAACUAUCUCCAAACAUAGCUCGCGAAGGUCUUCUGCUAACUCCUUGGGUAACUCUCCGGUCAUGAGUGUGUUGACAUGACUUUUUCGGCUUAACGCAUCGGCUACUACGUUAGCCUUUCCGGGAUGAUAAUGUAACCUCAUAUCAUAAUCCUUUAUUAGCUCUAACCAUCUCCUCUUCCUGAGAUUCAACUCCUUCUGCGUGAAGAUAUACUUCAAACUCUUGUGAUCCGUGUAUACCUCACAAUGGUUUCCGAUGAGAAAAUGUCUCCAUGUCUUCAACGCAUGUACUACGGCUGCUAACUCCAAAUCAUGCGUAGCAUAAUUUAACUCAUGGGGUUUAAGCUGUCGUCAGGCAUAUGAAACAACUCUUCCUUCCUGCAUAAGUACGGCUCCAAGUCCUCGACGAGAAGCGUCGCAAUACACUUCAUAAUUUUUGCGUUGAUCUGGCAGAAUCAACACUGGUGAUGUAACCAAGCGUCUCUUCAACUCCUGAAAACUGGCCUCACAUUCCUCAGUCCAAUUGAAUUUGGUGUCCUUCUUCAACAACUCCGUCAUAGGUUUUGCAAUCUUUGAGAAAUUCUCAAUGAACCUCCGGUAAUAAAUUGCGAGUCCAAGAAAACUCCGAAUUUCUCCAACAGACGUGGGUGACUCCCAAUUUGUCACAGUGACAACUUUGGUGGGGUCUACUGCUAUUCCUUCUCCGGAUAUAACAUGUCCAAGGAAUCCAACUUCCUUCAACCAAAACUCACACUUGCUGAACUUGGCGUAUAACUGAUGUUCUCUGAGCUUACCAAGUACCAAACGCAAAUGCUCUUUAUGUUCUUCUUCAUUCUUCGAGUAGACCAGAAUGUCAUCAAUGAACUCCACAACGAACUUAUCCAAAAACUCCAUAAACACUUUGUUCAUCAUGUUCAUAAAAUAGGCAGGUGCAUUAGUCAGACCAAAUGACAUAACGGUAUACUCAUACAGCCCGUACCUCGUUGUAAAAGUUGUCUUAGGUAUGUCCUGCUCUCGAAUCUUCAAUUGGUGAUACCCUGAUCACAAAUCAAUCUUGGAAAACACCUUUGCUCCUUGCAGCUGGUCAAACAAAUCACUGAUCAUCGGCUGUGGGUACUUGUUCUUGAUCGCCACUGCAUUCAAUCCAUGAUAAUCAACAACCAUCCUUAACGAUCCAUCCUUCUUUUCCACUAGAAGUACUGGGGAUCCCCAAGGUGACGAACUUGGGCGGAUAUAACCUUUAUCCAGUAACUCCUUAAUAUGCUUCUUAAUUUCCUCCAAAUCCUUUGCGGGCAUUCUGUACGGUCUCUUAGAUAUUGGCCCUGUGCCUGGCAAAAGCUCAAUCAAAAACUCAAUGUCUCUAUCCGGUGGCAUGCCUGGCAACUCUUCUGGAAAUACAUCCAGAAAAUCCUUCACCACUGGUACUUCCUCCUGUACAACUCCUGAUAAGGAAUUUACUUGAGUCCUAUUCGGCACAUGCCGAGAUACAUACUUGAUCCUUCUUCCUUCUGGGGUGGUAAGCAAAAUUGACUUACUGGCGCAAUCAAUGUUCCCUCCAUACUUCGAUAACCAAUCCAUGCCUAAUAUGACAUCCAGUCCUUGUGACUCUAAUACUAUUAGGUCCGAGGGAAACAAGUAGUUACCAAUCCUUAAUGGUAACUGAUCACACCAUAGGCUAGCCAUAUACUCUGCUCCUGGCGAGGUUAGUAACAUGGGUGACCUAAGGGCUUGGGUGGCAGCUUAAACUUAUCCACAAAUCCCCUUGAUAUGUAUGAAUGCGAUGCACCAGUAUCAAAAAGUACGACUGCAGUAAAUGACUUAACCAAAAACUUACCUAUUACUACAUGUAGCUGGGCUUCAACCUCCUCCACGUUAACGUGAUUCACUUGUCCCCUGUUGAAAGGGUUGGGCUUCUUCCCAGAGCUUCCAUUGCCAUUUCCAUUCUUGGCUUCAGGACACUCAUUGGCGUAAUGUCCUGUCUUCUGGCAUUUGUAGCAAGUCAUGUGGCUUAGAUCCUUCUUGGAGGGUGUUGCCGGGUUGGAACAGUUCUGUCCGCUACUUCCUCCAUUACCAUUACCAUUCUUGGGGCCACUAUGAUUGUGCGAACUUCCUCCAUUAUGAGUGUGGCCUCCAUGGUUAUGAACAAGUCCUCCCGAGUUCGGGGUGUAACGGGGUCUCUGCUGGGCUCCAGAAUUCCCUUUCCAUACUUCCUUUUGUGGCUGUCAAUCUGCUGCUGCUUCCCUUCAAGCAUGAGAGCUCUAUCCACCAACUCCUGAUAAUUAUUGAAAUUUGCCACCAUCAACUGCAUGCUCAGCUCAUCAUUCAGUCCUUCCAAAAAUUUCUCCUUUUUAGCUGCAUCUGUAGCGACGUCAUCUGGGGCAUAACGUGCUAACUUACUAAACUCAUCCACAUACUGGCCAACAGUGCGUCGUCCUUGGCGUAAGUUGAGAAACUCACACUUCUUCAUGGCCAUAGCUCCUGCUGAACCAUGGGCAGUGCGAAAAGCCUGCUGGAACUGGUCCCAUGUCACAGUGUCAAUAGGGUAAGUGACUAUGAAAUUCUCCCACCAAGAUGAUGCGGGUCCAUCAAGCUGAUGUGCGGCAAAACGCACUCUCUCCGCAUCUGUGCAUCCUGCAGUGGUCAACUCCCUUUCAAUCUUGCGAAGCCAAUCAUCUACAACAAUAGGCUCGGUGCUACUGGAGAACACCGGCGGAUUCAGCCUAAGAAAAUGGGCUAAGUGGUCAACUAGUGGGGGUGGUGGUGGGUUGUUGUUGUUGUUGUUCCCCUGGUUCUGAUUCAGGACUAGUAUAUGCAUCAAUGCAUUCUGCUGCUGGAUCAACUGAGUGAGCUCCGGUGGGAAAGCAAAUCCAUUGUCGCGUCUCGGAGGCAUCUGCUGGGUUUAGAAAAGAUGAGAAAACAGAGUAGAAUGAGGUCUAGAGGGGAAACACUACCCAUAUGCACAUGAGACAAACACAAACAUAUCACUCAAUCAAUCAACAAAGGCAUACAAUCGGUCUAGAACUAUCGUUACAAAAGUGCUCGGACUAUACUAUAUACAUGGUGGAAUACUACUACUGAUUUGGUGGUCUACUAGAAAAAUUGCUCGGUCGAAGACUCCAUGAUAUUUGCUCCAGCUUCAUCAACAUAGUCAUCAUCGCUAUCGUCAGGGUCCGAGUCGGUGUCGUCGAUGAUGAUGUAGUUCUCCGGGCAAGUGGAACUGUCAUCUUCUCCUCCUGGCGCAGGGUCUCCCAUGAAAACUCCUAGCUUCCUGGUCAGGUCGUCAUUCUUCUCCACUAGUAUGACGAUUUCCUCCAUAUAAUCUUCGCGUGUAGCCUUGAGAUCUACCUCCAGUUCCGUGAUCCUUGUCAUUGCUUUCUUCAAAUCUGUCAUGCCUGCGCACAUCUGGUUCUCCUGGCGACGAAUGUGCUGGUUCAAUUCCUGGAUGAAAGAGGCAAUCGAUCUAUUCUUUCUGGUGCUGAUCAUCUCCCAUUGCUCAUCUCGGCGCCCACAAAUCUGAUAAAUAAUAUCCUUGAGAUCAUUGUGGUAAACUUCUCCAAUGCGUCCCAUGGUGAUGUGAGCUGCCAUACUCUUUCCUAGACUCCAGGUUGGGGCAUCGAAGGAAAACUCUAUGGGCUCAGUGACUGGCGUGAAUGUCCUUCCUGGAACUUGAACUUGAAUCAUCCAGCGCUCCUCUUCUGGUAAAGUGGCGUUGUAAGUCCCGAUGAAGCUUGGUAUUCCAAUGUGCAGGUACCUAGUGACUUCCUUCAAGUGGCGUCCAAAUGGGGUGUCUUCAUCCGGUUGCAUGAACUAGAUCCUUGCAUCCGCCAUCCUAAAGAGUAGAAAAUGGAGAGGAGUUAGAAAUGAGAAGAGAGUAGUGAUCUAGGGCUUUAGCUUAGUGGUCAUGUCCUACAGUCAGCGUGUGCUCUGAUACCAUCUUUGUAGCAACCAGACCUCAAACAGUCUGAUCUCUGUGCAUAAGUGUCAUCCCUGGAUCGGUAAUGCUGACACACAGUACUUGAAGGAUUUAUAACAGAUUAGCAAUCACACUUAUUACAUCGAAUGUCUCAAAAGAGAACCUAUUGCAAUAAAUAUGGCUUAAGGCCAUCUAAAACGAUAACAACGGAAGGCUUGGAAGAUAAAGUGAGUCCAUCAACUCCAACGGCAUCACUGAGUGAAAGACCUAAGGCUCCUUACUCGUCGUCUGAAAAGUCUGCAACAUGAUACGUUGCAGCCCGAAAACGUGUCAGCACAUGGAAUAUGCUAGCAAUGUAACACAAGAGGGUAAUGAACAGAAUAAUGCUAUCACUACAUGCAUAUAUGGCUGGUGGAGGCUGUAGGGUUAAUAUGUUUUGCGAAAAGCCAAUUUUUCCCUACUGCAAAGGAAUAUAUUUUAUUUAACUACAAAGUUUGUUGAAAACAUUGAGAAGGUAAACCCCCUCUCAAUCCCAAUUAAUAGUAAUCAUUAACAACCCAUCAAAUUAAUUAAGUAGUGUUGAGAUCAACAUGAUAAUCCAAGAACCAGAUACUCAAGUUGUCCAUAACCGGGGACACGGCUAACCAUGAUUAGUUUGUACACUCUGCAGAGGUUUGCGCACCUUUCCCCACAAGACUCGAUCUCCUCCAUUGAAUUUCUCGCACUACAUGGUGUUUGAGAAACGGAUGACCGAGACACAGUCUUUCAGAAGCGUUAGCACCUUACGAUGGGUAGAUCGUACCACCUACAUCCCCUACAUCUGCUAGUCUACCACUGUAAGAGUUCACACGACUUAAUCAACUAUGCUAGAGCCCAUAAUAGCUUGUGGCUGCACACGGAAGUUUCUAGUAUGAAUAAUCUCAUGAUCCCUUUGAGCCUGGGUGGCAGUCCAUAGGAGAAUCACACGGUACCCUGGGAUUUCCAAAAAAUACAGGCAAUCACUGAAUACCCCAGGUGCCUCAAUCCACCCAGAUGUGUAUUUAAGUUGCCACCUUAAGUUUAACCAUUAAUUAACAAUCUCACAUCUGUCAUGAGUACACUCAAACCCAAUCCAUGUGUACGAGCAUAGCAUAGCAAUAUAAACAUAACGUAGAAGUAACUCCCAGGGUUUGAUAAUAAACAGGUGAAUAGGUACUACCUCAGCUACUUCCCAACCCACAAUUUAAUUCAGAUCCUAACCAUGCAAUUGUUUGGGGAUUGAUCUAAUGCAGUAAAACUGGGUAGUAAAGAGGUAUGAUCAAAGUGUUACUUGCCUUGCUGAUGAUCCGCGAAACCUAGAGACUCAUAGUAGCACGCUUCGCACUACGGGUACUCUAUCGCAAACAAAUAAGCAAACAAUAAGCAAUCAAGCAAGGGCACGGGUAAAACUCAAAUAAGAGAUCUAACCAGAAAGUUUAACUUAAGAACUCCGGUUUGCAAAAAGAAUCAAAUCAAAUGAAGCAACAAAACUCAAACGGCGAAAGAAACAAGCUUCGUUUACUAAUCUGGACUAAAGUCAAAUUUUACAGUAGCAAAAACUUGUUUAAGUUGGCUAAACAGAAAGAGGAAUUCGAGACGAAACUCUAGGCGCUUGAAUCGCCUGAUUCCGAUAAAUGAGCGAAACGUUAUACUAGAACGAAAAUCGGAUCAGAAAUCGCGAUCGAAAAUAAUCACGGUAAAUCCGAGAAAAAGAAAAACCGACGAACAGGCUAACGAACGAACGUUCGCUGUCUGCGGUUAAACGGUGAAAACCGUUCGUUAAAACAAACAUACGGAUGAACGUUCGCUAAAUAACUAAACCGAGAAAAAUAAACCGAACCGAUCUAAAUAAAAACGAAACUAGGGUUUACUAAAUAAAACCGAUCGGUUUAAAAAAAACCGGCGGCUACCUCGAACUCCGGCGGGCGGCGGGGCGGCGGCGGUGGNNNNNNNNNNNNNNNNNNNNNNNNNNNNNNNNNNNNNNNNNNNNNNNNNNNNNNNNNNNNNNNNNNNNNNNNNNNNNNNNNNNNNNNNNNNNNNNNNNNNNNNNNNNNNNNNNNNNNNNNNNNNNNNNNNNNNNNNNNNNNNNNNNNNNNNNNNNNNNNNNNNNNNNNNNNNNNNNNNNNNNNNNNNNNNNNNNNNNNNNNNNNNNNNNNNNNNNNNNNNNNNNNNNNNNNNNNNNNNNNNNNNNNNNNNNNNNNNNNNNNNNNNNNNNNNNNNNNNNNNNNNNNNNNNNNNNNNNNNNNNNNNNNNNNNNNNNNNNNNNNNNNNNNNNNNNNNNNNNCUUAUAAAGGGGCCGGCCCGAAGUCGGUUUGAUUUUUUUUAAUAAUUCUGACGUGCAGAAAAAGAAGGAAAGGAAAUACUAAACGGACUCCAAAAAUCCCGAAAUAAAUUUUCCCGUCCUCUAAAAAUAGGCCGGACAAGGUGAACAUUUAGUUGGGCCUAAAACGCAAUUUUGAAAACGCAUAUUUUUCCUAAUUCAAAUAAAAUAGCGACAAAACUCCGAAUAAAAAUCUUAUUUGAUUUUAAUGUUAAAUCUUUGAUAUUUCUUUAUUUUGAGGAAGUCAUUUUAUCCUCUCUCUUUUAUUUUUAAUAAAAGAAAUAUUUCAGAGAAAAAUAAUUAAAAUCAAAGAUCGUCUUUUCAAAAUUCGAGAAAACUCGAAUAUGAAAAUAACGAAAUCCCCAACUCUCUUAAUGGGUCCUUGAGUUGUGUAGAAUUUCUAGGAUCAACCAAAAUGCAAUAAAAUAUGAUAUGCAAUGAUGGUUUAAUGUAUAACAUUCCAAAUUGAAAAUUUGGGAUGUUACAAUAUCUUUUAGAGCACGACGGUGGUUCUAUUUUAUAGAAACUAUUAUUCUCUCAUGCUUCACUUAUAUUAUUUUGAGAGUCUUAAACAACAUGGUAAUUUGCUUAAAUUGAGAAAUUAAUCCUAAUAUGUUAGGUAUUCAAGACUAGUAAAAAACUUUCUUAUGAGUGUGCUGAAUACUAAGAGAAGUUUGAUGCUUGAUGAUUGUUUUGAGAUAUGGAGGUAGUGAUAUUAAAGUUGUGCUAGUUGAGUAGUGGUGAAUUUGAGAAAUACUUGUGUUGAAGUUUGCAAGUCCCGUAGCAUGCACGUAUGGUAAACGUUAUGUAACAAAUUUGAAACAUGAGGUGUUCUUUGAUUGUCCUCCUUAUGAGUGGCGGUCGGGGACGAGCGAUGGUCUUUUCCUACCAAUCUAUCCCCCUAGGAGCAUGCGCGUAGUGCUUGGUUUUUGGUGACUUGUAGAUUUUUGCAAUAAGUAUGUGAGUUCUUUAUGACUAAUGUUGAGUCCAUGGAUUAUACGCACUCUUACCCUUCCAUCAUUGCUAGCCUCUUCGGUACCGUGCAUUGCCCUUUCUUACAUUGAGAGUUGGUGCAAACUUCGCCGGUGCAUCCAAACCCCGUGAUAUGAUACACUCUUUCACACAUAAACCUCCUUAUAUCCUCCUCAAAACAGCCACCAUACCUACCUAUUAUGGCAUUUCCAUAGCCAUUCCGAGAUAUAUUGCCAUGCAACUUUCCACCGUUCCGUUUAUCAUGACACGUUCAUCAUUGUCAUAUUGCUUUGCAUGAUCAUGUAGUUGACAUCGUAUUUGUGGCAAAGCCACCGUCCAUAAAUUUUUCAUACAUGUCACUCUUUAUUCAUUGCUAACCGGGUAUACCGCCGGAGGCAUUCAUAUAGAGUCAUACUUUGUUCUAGUAUCAAGUUGUAAUCAUUAAGUUGUAAAUAAAUAGAAGUGUGAUGAUCAUCAUUCAUAGAGCAUUGUCCCCCCAAAAAAAAGAAGGCCCAAAAAAAGGGGAGAAUAAAAAGGGACAAUGCUACUAUCCUUUUCCACACUUGUUCUUCAAAGUAGCACCAUGAUCUUCAUGAUACAGAGUCUCUUGUUUUGUCACUUUCAUAUACUAGUGGGAAUUUUUCAUUAUAGAACUUGGCUUAUAUAUUCCAACAAUGGGCUUCCUCAAAUGCCCUAGGUCUUCGUGAGCAAGCAAGUUGGAUGCACACCCACUUAGUUUCUUUUGUUGAGCUUUCAUGCAUUUAUAGCUCUAGUGCAUCGGUUGCAUGGCAAUCCCUACUCCUUGCAUUAACAUCAAUCGAUGGGCAUCUCCAUAGCCUGUUGAUUAGCCGCGUUGAUGUGAGACUUUCUCCUUUUUUGUCUUCUCCACAUAACCCCCAUCAUUAUAUUCUAUUCCACCCAAAGUGCUAUAUCCAUGGCUCACGCUCAUGUAUUGCGUGAAGGUUGAAAAAGUUUGAGAUUACUAAAGUAUGAAACAAUUGCUUGGCUUGUCAUCGGGGUUGUGCAUGAUAAGAGCAUUCUUGUGUGACGAAAAUGGAGCAUGACUAAACUAUAUGAUUUUGUAGGGAUGAACUUUCUUUGGCCAUGUUAUUUUGAGAAGACAUAAUUGCUUAGUUAGUAUGCUUGAAGUAUUAUUACUUUUAUGUCAAUAUUAAACUUUUAUCUUGAAUCUUUCGGAUCUGAAUAUUCAUGCCGCAAUUAAGAGGGUUACAUUAAAAAUUAUGCCAAGUAGCAUUCCACAUCAAAAAUUCUGUUUUUAUCAUUUACCUACUCGAGGACGAGCAGGAAUUAAGCUUGGGGAUGCUUGAUACAUCUCCAACGUAUCUAUAAUUUUUGAUUGCUUCAUGCUAUAUUAUAUUCUGUUUUGGACAUUAUUGGGAUUUAUUAUACACUUUUAUAUUAUUUUUGGGACUAACCUAUUAACUGGAGGCCCAGCCCAGAAUUGCUGUUUUUUGCCUAUUUCAGAGUUUCGCAGAAAAAGAAUAUCAAACGGAGUCCAAACGGAAUGAAACCUUCGGGAACGUGAUUUUCGGAACGAACGUGAUCCAGAGGACUUGGAACCUACGUCAAGACAUAAAGCAUGAAGGCACGAGGUAGGGGGCGUGCCUACCCCCCUUGGGCGCGCUCUCCACCCUCGUGGGCCCCACGUUACUCCACCGACGUACUUCUUCCUCCUAUAUAUACCUACGUACCCCCAAACUACCAGAUACGGAGCCAAAAACCUAAUUCCACCCGGCAACCUUCCGUACCUGUGAGAUCCCAUCUUGGGGCCUUUUCCGAAGCUCCGCCGGAGGCGCAUCGAUCACGGAGGGCUUCUACACCAACACCAUAGCCUCUCCGAUGAUGUGUGAGUAGUUUACCUCAGACCUUCGGGUCCAUAGUUAUUAGCUAGAUGGCUUCUUCUCUCUUUUUCGAUCUCAAUAAAAUGUUCUCCCCCUCUCUUAUGGAGAUCUAUUCGAUGUAAUCUUCUUUUGCGGUGUGUUUGUUGAGACCGAUGAAUUAUGGGUUUAUGAUCGAGUUUAUCUAUGAACAAUAUUUGAAUCUUCUCUGAAUUCUUUUAUGUGUGAUUGGUUAUAUUUGCAAGUCUCUUCGAAUUAUCAGUUUGCAAGUCUCUUCGAAUUAUUUGCAAGUCUCUUCAAAUUAUCAGUUUGGUUUGGCCUACUAGAUUGAUCUUUCUUGCAAUGGGAGAAGUGCUUAGCUUUGGGUUCAGUCUUGCGGUGUCCUUUCCCAGUGACAGUAGGGGCAGCAAGGCACGUAUUGUAUUGUUGCCAUCGAGGAUAACAAGAUGUGGUUUAUAUCAUAUUGCAUGAAUUUAUCCCUCUACAUCAUGUCAUCUUACUUAAAGCGUUACUCUAUUCUUUUGAAUUUAAUACUCUAGAUGCAUGCUGGAUAGCGGUCGAUGUGUGGAGUAAUAGUAGUAGAUGCAGGCAGGAGUCGGUCUACUUGUCGCGAACGUGAUGCCUAUAUACAUGAUCAUACCUAGAUAUUCUCAUAACUAUGCUCAAUUCUGUCAAUUGCUCCACAGUAAUUUGUUUACCCACCAUAAUACUUAUGCUCUCAAGAGAAGCCACUAGUGAAACCUAUGGCCCCCGGGUCUAUUUUCCAUCAUAUUUAAUCUCCCGACAACAAGCUAUUUUUGGCGCCAUUUUUAUUUUGCUUUCUUUACUUUGCAUCUUUAUCAUAAAAAUACCAAAAAUAUUAUCUUAUCAUAUCUAUCAGAUCUCACUCUCGUAAGUGACUGUGAAGGGAUUGACAACCCCUUUAUUGCGUUGGUUGUGAGUAUUUAUUUGUUUGUGUAGGUACGAGGGACUCGUGCGUGGCCUCCUACUGGAUUGAUACCUUGGUUCUAAAAAACUGAGGGAAAUACUUACGCUACUUUACUGCAUCACCCUUUCCUCUUCAAGGGAAAACCAACGCAGUGCUCAAGAGGUAGCAUUGGGCCUCCAAGUGCAGAGGUUUGUAGGACAGUAGCAAUUAUCCCUCAAGUGGAUGACCUCAGGUUUAUCAAUCCGUGGGAGGCGUAGGAUGAAGAUGGUCUCUCUCAAACAACCCUGCAACCAAAUAACAAAGAGUUUCUUGUGUCCCCAACACACCCAAUACAAUGGUAAAUUGUAUAGGUGCACUAGUUCGGCGAAGAGAUGGUGAUACAAGUGCAAUAUGGAUGGUAGAUAUAGGUUUUUGUAAUCUGAAAAUAUAAAAACAGCAAGGUAACUAAUGAUAAAAAUGAGCACAAACGGUAUUGCAAUGCUAGGAACAAGGCCUAGGGUUCAUACUUUCACUAGUGCAAGUUCUCUCAACAAUAAUAAAAUAAUUGGAUCACAUAACUAUCCCUCAACAUGCAACAAAGAGUCACUCCAAAGUCACUAAUAGCGGAGAACAAACGAAGAGAUUAUUGUAGGGUACGAAACCACCUCAAAGUUAUCCUUUCUGAUCAAUCUAUUCAAGAGUCCGUAGUGAAAUAACAUGAAGCUAUUCUUUCCGUUUGAUCUAUCAUAGAGUUCGUACUAGAAUAACACCUUAAGACACAAAUCAACCAAAACCCUAAUCUCACCUAGAUACUCCAAUGUCACCUCAAGUAUCCGUGGGUAUGAUUAUACGAUAUGCAUCACACAAUCUCAGUUUCAUCUAUUCAACCAACACAAAGAACUUCAAAGAGUGCCCCAAAGUUUCUACCGGAGAGUCAAGACGAAAACGUGUUCCAACCCCUAUGCAUAGGUUCAUGGGCGGAACCCGCAAGUUGAUCACCAAAACAUACAUCAAGUGGAUCACGUGAUAUCCCAUUGUCGCCACAGAUACGCACGGCAAGACAUACAUCAAGUGUUCUCAAAUCCUUAAAGACUCAAAUCGAUAAGAUAACUUCAAAGGGAAAACUCAAUCCAUUACAAGAGACGAGAGGGGGACAAACAUCAUAAGAUCCAACUACAAUGCAAAGCUUGCGAUACAUCAAGAUCGUAUCACCUCAAGAACACGAGAGAGAGAGAGAUCAAACACAUAGCUACUGGUACAUACCCUCAGCCCCGAGGGUGAACUACUCCCUCCUCAUCAUGGAGAGCGUCGGGAUGAUGAAGAUGGCCACCGGUGAGGGUUCCCCCCUCCGGCAGGGUGCCGGAACAGGGUCCCGAUUGGUUUUUGGUGGGUACAGAGGCUUGCGGCGGCGGAACUCCCGAUCUAUUCUGUUCCCUGAUGGUUUUAGGGUAUAUGGAUAUAUAUAGGCGAAAGAAGUCGGUCAGGGGAGCCACGAGGGGCCCAGGAGGGUGGAGGGCGCGCCCCCUGCCUCGUGCCUUCCUCGUUGCUUCCCUUACGUACACUCCAAGUCUUUUGGAUUGCUUCCGUUCCAAAAAUAACUCUCCCAAAGGUUUCAUUCCGUUUGGACUCCGUUUGAUAUUCCUUUUCUGCGAAACACUGAAACAAGGGAAAAACAUAAACUGGCAUUGGGCUCUGGGUUAAUAAGUUAGUCCCAAAAAUAAUAUAAAAGUGCAUAGUAAAGCCCAUUAAACAUCCAAGAUGGAUAAUAUAAUAGCAUGAAUACUUCAUAAAUUAUAGAUACGUUGGAGACGUAUCAGCAUCCCCAAGCUUAAUUCCUGCUCGUCCUCGAGUAGGUAAAUGAUAAAAGAAAGAAUUUAUGAAGUGUGAAUGCUAGCAGGUGCAUAAGUUUGAUCAAUGAUAAUUUCAAUCACCUUUUCUAGCAUCAUUAUAUGUCAUAACAGUAGCUCAACUCAUGGAACUUGCAUGAUAAAGUAACAAACUAUUCACAUGUUAAAGUAUAGAUCAUAAACUUUCUUGAAAACUACCGUGUUAUUAGUCAUCAAACAAUUACAAUUCAUCUUAUUUUCAGGAAGAGUCUAUGUCAGAGCUUUGAUUCCGCAAACUUCACAUACUCAACUAUCAUUUAGUCUUCCAUGAUUGCAACCACUCAAAGCAUAUUUUUAGAACAAAUAGUAUUCAUCAAACACAGAGAAAGAUAGGGGCUUGAUGUUUCGCCUCCCAACCUUUUACCUCAAGGGUAAUGUCAACAAUAAUAAUUCAUGCUCAAAUAUAUUUGAAUGGCCAUAUAUGCUUAGAUCUUUCCAUCACAUGAUGCUUGCCAACUAAAGAGAAGGUUGGAAUGAGAAGGAAUACUACUGACUCUUGCAUAAAAGUAAAAGAUAGGCCCUUCGCAUAGGGAAGUAGGGAUUUGCAGAGGUGCCAGAGCUCGAAGCAAAAACAUAGAUGAAAAUAAUUUUGAGAGGUAUGCUUUCAUUGUCAACAUAAUGACAAAGAGUUCCCAAUAUCUUCCAUACUACAUAAAUUAUAGGCGGUUCCCACGCAGAAAGGUAAAGUUUUUACUCCCCCUCCACCAACAUUCACACUCCACGGCUUGUCCGAAACAACGGGUGCCGUCCAACUAUCAACAUUCCUGGGGGAGUUUGGUUUAAAUUAUUUGCGAAUUUGUUUUUGAUCUUUUGAUCAUAGGACUGGGCAUCCCGGUUACCAGCCAUUUUGUCGUGAAUGAUGAGCGGAGUCCACUCAUCGUGAGAAUAACCCACCUAGCAUGGAAGAUACUGACAGCCCUUAGUCGCUACAUGAGCGAUUCAGGCAUACAAAACAGAUUAUUAUUUGAAGGUUUAGAGUUUGGCACAUGCAAAUUUACUUGGAAUGGCAGGUAAAUACCGCAUAUAGGUAGAUAUGGUGGACACGCAUGGAAGAAACUUGGUUCAAGGAAUUUGAAUGCACAAGCAGUAUUCCCGCUUAGUACAUAUAUUUUGGCUAGCAGAGGAUUCUAAAUAGCAAGCACCACAUGUUAGAGGAUCCAUAACAAUAUAACUUAUACAAAUAUACCCAAGCAUAACUCAUUAAGUUGUCUUCCUUGUCCAACUUCAACUAAUUUGCUCAGGUUUGAAAAUAAUUAAUGGGGCUCCCAAUCAUAGAAGAUGUCCAAGAUAGUAUAUUUAUAUGUGAAAUCUCUCUUCCUUCAAUAUUCUUUCAUGAAUUGUUCAAGUGACCAAUACAAUGUUUGCUAACCUUCAAUAAAUUUACCAACUCUACUUCUUAUAUGUGAAGGCAUUACUCCCCAUGGGAAAGGCAUAUGAAACAUAUAUAAUUCAGAUUUAUGACAUUCAAAUCAUUCAACCAUUUACUCAUAGGAUAUAAGUGAAACACACGAGUAAAUGACAAACUACUCCAAAAAGAUAUAAGUGAAGAUCAAUGAGUAGUUAAAUAAUUAUGUAGAUAUGUGAAGACUCUCUCUCAUUUAAGAAUUUCAGAUCUUGGUAUUAUUCAAACAGCAAGUAAGGCUAAAGAAAAUAAAAUGACGCUCCAAACAAAACACAUAUCAUGUGGUGAAUAAAAAUAUAGCUCCAAGUAAAGUUACCGAAGAACGAAGACGAAAGAGGGGAUGCCAUCCGGGGCAUCCCCAAGCUUAGGCUCUUGGUUGUCCUUGAAUAUUACCUUGGGGUGCCUUGGGCAUCCUCAAGCUUAGGCUCUUGCCACUCCUUAUUCCAUAGUCCAUCGAAUCUUUACCCAAAACAUGAAAACUUCACAACACAAAACUCAACAGAAAACUCGUAAGCUCCGUUAGUAUAAGAAAAUAAAUCACCACUUUUGGUACUGUUGUGAACUCAUUCUUUAUUUAUAUUGGUGUUAAACCUACUGUAUUCCAACUUAUCUAUGGUUCAUACCCUCCGAUACUACUCAUAGAUUCAUCAAAAUAAGCAAACAACACUUAGAAAACAGAAUCUAUCAAAAACAAAACAGUCUGUAGUAAUCUGUAUCAAACAAAUACUUCUGAACCCAAAAAUUCUAAAAUAAAUUGGUGGACCUGAGGAAUUUGUCUAGUGCUACCUCUUGAGCACUGCGUUGGUUUUCCCUUGAAGAGGAAAGGGUGAUGCAGCAAAGUAGCGUAAGUAUUUCCCUCAGUUUUUGAGAACCAAGGUAUCAAUCCAGUAGGAGGCUACGCACGAGUCCCUCGCACCUACACAAACAAAUAAAUCCUCGCAACCAACGCGAUAAGGGGUUGUCAAUCCCUACAUGGUCACUUACGAGAGUGAGAUCUGAUAGAUAUGAUAAGAUAAUAUUUUUGGUAUUUUUAUGAUAAAGAUGCAAAGUAAAGAAAACAAAAUAAAAAUGGCAAAAGAAAUAGCUAAGUGUUGGAAGAUUAAUAUGAUGGAAAAUAGACCCGGGGGCCAUAAGUUUCACUAGUGGCUUCUCUCGAGAGCAUAAGUAUUUACGGUGGGUGAACAAAUUACUGUUGAACAAUUGACAGAAUUGAGCAUAGUUAUGAGAAUAUCUAGGUAUGAUCAUGUAUAUAGGCAUCACGUCCGAGACAAGUAGACCGACUCCUGCCUGCAUCUACUACUAUUACUCCACACAUCGACCGCUAUCCAUCAUGCAUCUAGAGUAUUAAGUUCAUAAGAACAGAGUAACGCCUUAAGCAAGAUGACAUGAUGUAGAGGGAUAAACUCAUGCAGUAUGAUAAAAAAAACCCAUCUAGUUAUCCUCGAUGGCAACAAUACUAUACGUGCCUGCCGCCCCUACUUUCACUGGGAAAGGACACCGCAAGAUUGAACCCAAAGCUAAGCACUUCUCCCAUUGCAAGAAAGAUCAAUCUAGCAGGCCAAACCAAACUGAUAAUUCGAAGAGACUUGAAAAUAUAAUCAAUCAUACAUAAAAGAAUUCAGAAGAUUCAAAUAUUGUUCAUAGAUAAACUUGAUCAUAAACCCACAAUUCAUCGGUCUCAACAAACACACCGCAAAAGAAGAUUACAUCGAAUAGAUUUCCACAAGAGAGGGGGAGAACAUUGUAUUGAGAUACAAAAAGAGAGAGGAAGCCAUCUAGCUAAUAACUAUGGACCCGAAGGUCUGAGGUAAACUACUCACACAUCAUGGGAGAGGCUAUGGUGUUGAUGUAGAAGCCCUCCGUGAUCGAUGCCCCCUCCGGCGGAGCUCCGAAACAGGCCCCAAGAUGGGAUCUCACGGGUACAGAAGGUUGUGGCGGUGGAAUUAGGUUUUUGGCUCCGUAUCUGGUAGUUUGGGGGUACGUAGGUAUAUAUAGGAGGAAGGAGUACGUCGGUGGAGCAACGUGGGGCCCACGAGGGUGGAGGGCGCGCCCAGGGGGGUAGGUGCACCCCCUACCUCGUGGCUUCCUGGUAGCUUUCUUGACGUAGGGUCCAAGUCCUCUGGAUCACGUUCGUUCCGAAAAUCACGUUCCCGAAGGUUUCAUUCCGUUUGGACUCCGUUUGAUAUUCUUUUUCUGCGAAACUCUGAAAUAGGCAAAAAAACAGCAAUUCUGGGCUGGGCCUCCGGUUAAUAGGUUAGUCCCAAAAAUAAUAUAAAAGUGUAUAAUAAAGCCCAAUAAUGUCCAAAACAGAAGAUAAUAUAACAUGGAGCAAUCAAAAAUUAUAGAUACGUUGGAGACGUAUCAAGCAUCCCCAAGCUUAAUUCCUGCUCGUCCUCGAGUAGGUAAAUGAUAAAAACAGAAUUUUUGAUGUGGAAUGCUACUUGGCAUAAUUUCAAUGUAAUUCUUCUUAAUUGUGGUAUGAAUAUUCAGAUCCGAAAGAUUCAAGAUAAAAGUUUAAUAUUGACAUAAAAAUAAUAAUACUUCAAGCAUACUAACUAAGCAAUUAUGUCCUCUCAAAAUAACAUGGCCAAAGAAAGUUCAUCCCUACAAAAUUAUAUAGUUUAGUCAUGCUCCAUUUUCGUCACACAAGAAUGCUCUCAUCAUGCACAACCCUGAUGACAAGCCAAGCAAUUGUUUCAUACUUUAGUAAUCUCAAACUUUUUCAACCUUCACGCAAUACAUGAGCGUGAGCCAUGGAUAUAGCACUAUGGGUGGAAUAGAAUAUGAUGAUGGGGGUUAUGUGGAGAAGACAAAAAAGGAGAAGGUCUCACAUCAACGAGGCUAAUCAAUGAGCUAUGGAGAUGCCCAUUGAUUGAUGUUAAUGCAAGGGGUAGGGAUUGCCAUGCAACGGAUGCACUAGAGCUAUAAAUAUAUGAAAGCUCAACAAAAGAACCUAAGUGGGUGUGCAUCCAACUUGCUUGCUCAUGAAGACCUAGGGCACUUGAGGAUGCCAUUGUUGGAAUAUAUAAGCCAAGUUCUAUAAUGAAAAAUUCCCACUAGUAUAUGAAAGUGACAAAACAAGAGACUCUCUACCAUGAAGAUUAUGGUGCUACUUUGAAGCACAAGUGUGGUAAAAGGAUAGUAACACUGUCCCUUCUCUCUUUUUCUCUCAUUUUUUUGGGCCUUCUUUUUUUUAUGGCCUUUCUCUUUUUUUUAUUCCUCACUUGGGACAAUGCUCUAGAAAAUGAUGAUCAUCACACUUCUAUUUAUUUACAACUCAAUGAUUACAACUCGAUACUACAACAAAGUAUGACUCUAUAUAAAUGCCUCCGGCGGUGUACCGGGAUAUGCAAUGAACCAAGAGUGACAUGUAUGAAAGGAUUAUGAACGGUGGCCUUGCCACAAAUACUAUGUCAACUACAUGAUCAUGCAAAGCAAUAUGACAAUGAUGAACGUGUCAUGAUAAAUGGAAUGGUGGAAAGUUGCAUGGCAAUAUAUCUCGGAAUGGCUAUGGAAAUGCCAUAAUAGGUAGGUAUGGUGGCUGUUUUGAGGAAGAUAUAAGGAGGUUUAUGUGUGAAAGAGCAUAUCAUAUCACGGGGUUUGGAUGCACCGGCAAAGUUUGCACCAACUCACAAUGUGAGAAAGGGCAAUGCAAGGUACCGAAGAGGCUAGCAAUGGUGGAAAGGUGAGAGUGCGUAUAAUCCAUGGACUCAACAUUAGUCAUAAAGAACUCACAUACUUAUUGCAAAAAUCUACAAGUCAUAAAAAACCAAGCACUACGCGCAUGCUCCUAGGGGGAUAGAUUGGUAGGAAAAGACCAUCGCUCGUCCCCGACCGCCACUCAUAAGGAGGACAAUCAAAGAACACCUCAUGUUUCAAAUUUGUUACAUAACUUUUACCAUACGUGCAUGCUACGGGACUUGCAAACUUCAACACAAGUAUUUAUCAAAUUCACAACUACUCAACUAGCACAACUUUAAUCUCACUAUCUCCAUGUCUCAAAACAAUCAUCAAGCAUCAAACUUCUCUUAGUACUCAACACACUCAUAAGAAAGUUUAUACUAAUCUUGAAUACCUAGCAUAUUAGAAUUAUUUAAGCAAAUUACCAUGCUAUUUAAGACUCUCAAAAUAAUCUAAGUUAAGCAUGAGAGAUCAAUAGUUUCUAUAAAACAAAUCCACCACCGUGCCCUAAAAGAUAUAAGUGAAGCACUAGAGCAAAAACUAUAUAACUCAAAAGAUAUAAGUGAAGCACAUAGAGUAUUCUAAUAAUUUCCGAAUCAUGUGUGUCUCUCUCAAAAGGUGUGUAUAGCAAGGAUGAAUGUGGUAAAAUAAAAAAAAUAAAGACUCAAAUAAUACAAGAUGCUCCAAGCAAAACACAUAUCAUGUGGUGAAUAAAAAUAUAGCUCCAAGUAAAGUUACCGAUGGAAGUAGACGAAAGAGGGGAUGCCUUCCGGGGCAUCCCCAAGCUUUGGCUUUUAGGUGUCCUUAGAUUAUCUUGGGGAUGCCAUGGGCGUCCCCAAGCUUAAGCUCUUGCCACUCCUUGUUCCAUAAUCCAUCAAAUCUUUCACCCAAAACUUGAAAACUUCACAACACAAAACUCAGCAGAAAAUCUCGUGAGCUCCGUUAGCGAAAGAAAACAAAAAACCACUUCAAGGAACUGUAAUGAACUCAUUCUUUAUUUAUAUUGGUGUUAAACCUACUGUAUUCCAACUUCUCUAUGGUUUAUAAACUAUUUUACUAGCCAUAGAUUCAUCAAAAUAAGCAAACAACACACGAAAAACAGAAUUUGUCAAAAACAGAACAGUCUGUAGUAAUCUGUAACUAACGUAAACUUCUGGAACUCCAAAGAUUCAGCCAUAAUAGGACGACCUAGAAAAUUUGUUUAUUGAUCAGAAGCAAUUGGAAUCAAUAUUUUAUCACGUCCUGGUGAUUUUUAAAAAUUAUUUUUGUGAACAGAAAGUUUCUGGAAUUUUCAGCAAGAUUAAAUAACUAUCAUCCAAGAAGAUCCUAUAGGUUUAACUUGGCACAAACACUAAUUAAAACAUAAAAACACAUCUAACCAGAGGCUAGAACAAAUAUUUAUUCCUAAAUAGAAGCAAAAAGCAAAAAACUAAAAAUAAAAUUGGGUUGCCUCCCAACAAGCGCUAUCGUUUAACGCCCCUAUCUAGUUAUAGAAGCAAGGAUAGAUCUAGGUAUUGCCAUCUUUGGUAGGCAAUCCAUAAGUGGAUCUCAUGAUAGAUUCAUAUGGUAAUUUUAUUUUCUUCCUAGGGAAGUGUUCCAUGCCUUUCUUUAAUGGAAAUUGGAAUCUAAUAUUUCCUUCAUUCAUAUCAAUAAUUGCACCAAUCGUUCGAAGGAAAGGUCUACCAAGAAUAAUAGGACAUGAAGAAUUGCAAUCUAUAUCAAGAACAAUAAAAUCUACGGGCACAUAGUUCCCAUUUGCAGCAAUAAUAAUGUCAUUAAUUCUUCCCAUAGGUUUCUUAAUGGUGGAAUCCGCAAGGUGCAAGUUUAAAGAGCAAUCAUCAAAAUCACGGAAACCUAACAAAUCACACAAAGUUUUUGGAAUCGUGGAAACACUAGCACCCAAAUCACACAAAGCAUAGCAUUCAUGAUCUUUAAUUUUAAGUUUAAUAGUAGGUUCCCACUCAUCAUAAAGUUUUCUAGGGAUAGAAACUUCCAUCUCAAGUUUUUCUUCAUAAGAUUGCAUCAAAGCAUCAACGAUAUGUUUAGUAAAGGCUUUAUUUUGGCUAUAAGCAUGAGGAGAAUUUAGCACGGAUUGCAACAAGGAAAUACAAUCUAUCAAAGAGCAGCUAUCAUAAUUAAAUUCCUUGAAAUCGAAAAUAGUGGGUUCAUUAAUAUCUAAUGUUUUGAUCUCUUCAAUCCCACUUUUAUCAAUUUUAGCAUCAAGAUCUAAAAACUCCGAAUUUUUGGAACGCCUUCUAGGUAAAGGUGGAUCAUAUUCAGUCCCAUCAUUAUCAAGAUUCAUAUUGCAAAACAAAGAUUUAAUAGGGGACACAUCAAUAACUUUUAGAUCUUCAUCUUUGUUUUCAUAUAAAUUUGAAGAACACGCUUUUAUAAAGCAAUCUUUCUUAGCACGCAUCCUAGCGGUUCUUUCUUUGCACUCAUCAAUGGAAAUUCUCAUGGCUUUGAGAGACUCAUUGAUAUCAUGCUUAGGUGGAAUAGAUCUAAGUUUCAAGGAAUCAACAUCAAGAGAAAUUCUAUCAACGUUCCUAGCCAAUUCAUCAACUUUAAGAAGUUUUUCUUCAAGCAAAGCAUUGAAAUUCUUUUGUGAAUUCAUAAAUUCCUUAACACUAGUCUCAAAUUCAGAGGGCAUCUUAUUAAAGUUUUCAUAAGAAUUGUUCUAGGAAUUACCAUAAUUAUUAGAGGAAUUACUAGGAUAAGGCCUAGGAUUAAAGUUUCCUCUAUACACGUUGUUACCAAAAUUAUUCCUACCAACAAAAUUCACAUCCAUAGGUUCAUUAUUAUUCUCAAUCAAGGUAGACAAAGGCAUAUCAUUAGGAUCAGAAGAAACACUCUUAGUAGCAAAUAAUUUCAUAAGUUCAUCCAUCUUUCCACUCAAAACAUUAAUUUCUUCUAUCGCAUGCACUUUUUUAUUAGUGCAUCUUUCAGUCUGCCAUUGAGAAUAAUUAACCAUAAUAUUAUCUAGGAGUUUAGUAGCUUCUCCUAAAGUGAUUUCCAUAAAAGUGCCUCCCGCGGCCGAAUCUAAAAGAUUUCUAGAAGCAAAAUUCAAUCCGGCAUAAUUUUUUUGUAUAAUCAUCCACAAAUUCAAACUAUGCGUUGGGCAAUUACGUAUCAUUAAUUUCAUCCUCUCCCAAGCUUGUGCAACAAGUUCAUGAUCAAGUUGCUUAAAAUUCAUAAUAUCAUUUCUAAGAGAGAUAAUCUUAGCGGGAGGAAAAUACUUAGAGAUAAAAGCAUCUUUGCACUUAUUCCAAGAAUCAAUACUAUUUUUAGGCAAAGACGAAAACCAAGCUUUAGCACGAUCUCUAAGCGAAAAAGGAAAUAGCUUCAAUUUAACAAUAUCAUUGUCAACAUCUUUCUUCUUUUGCAUAUCACAAAAAUCAAUGAAGCUAUUUAGAUGAGUAGCGGCAUCUUCACUAGGAAGGCGGCGAAUUGAUCUUUCAUGACAAGAUUCAACAAAGCAGCAUUGAUUUCACAAGAUUAAGUAUCGGUAAGAGGAGCAGUCGGAGUGCUAAGGAAACCAUUGUUGUUGGUAUUGGUAAAGUCACAUAAUUUGGUAUUAUCUUGAGCCAUCGUGACAAACAAGCAAUCCAACACACGAGCAAACAAGAAGCAAGCGAAAAAGAGGCGAACGGAAAAGAGAGGGCGAAUAAAACGGCAAGGGUGAAGUGGGGGAGAGGAAAACAAGAGGCAAAUGGCAAAUAAUGUAAUGUGGGAGAUAAGGGUUUGUGAUGGGUACUUGGUAUGUUGACUUUUGCGUAGACCUCCCCGGCAACGGCGCCAGAAAUGGCUCGUUGUCGGGAGUCCAAAUCUUGACUUGACUUUGCGUAAGCCUCCCCGGCAACGGCGCCAGAAAUCCUUCUUGCUACCUCUUGAGCACUGCGUUGGUUUUCCCUUGAAGAGGAAAGGGUGAUGCAACAAAGUAGCGUAAGUAUUUCCCUCAGUUUUUGAGAACCAAGGUAUCAAUCCAGUAGGAGGCUACACACGAGUCUCUCGCACCUACACAAACAAAUAAAUCCUCGCAACCAACGCGAUAAGGGGUUGUCAAUCCCUACACGGUCACUUACGAGAGUGAGAUCUGAUAGAUAUGAUAAGAUAAUAUUUUUGGUAUUUUUUUGAUAAAGAUGCAAAGUAAAGAAAGUAAAAUAAAAACGGCAACAGAAAUAGCUAGGUGUUGGAAGAUUAAUAUGAUGGAAAAUAGACCCGGGGGCCAUAGGUUUCACUAGAGGCUUCUCUCGAGAGCAUAAGUAUUUACGGUGGGUGAACAAAUUACUGUUGAACAAUUGACAGAAUUGAGCAUAGUUAUGAGAAUAUCUAGGUAUGAUCAUGUAUAUAGGCAUCACGUCCGAGACAAAUAGACCGACUCCUACCUGCAUCUACUACUAUUACUCCACACAUCGACCGCUAUCCAGCAUGCAUCUAGAGUAUUAAGUUCAUAAGAACAGAGUAACGCCUUAAGCAAGAUGACAUGAUGUAGAGGGAUAAACUCAUGCAAUAUGAUAAAAACCCCAUCUUGUUAUCCUCGAUGGCAACAAUACUAUACGUGCCUUGCCGCCCCUACUUUCACUGGGAAAGGACACCGCAAGAUUGAACCCAAAGCUAAGCACUUCUCCCAUUGCAAGAAAGAUCAAUCUAGCAGGCCAAACCAAACUGAUAAUUCGAAGAGACUUGCAAAGAUAACCAAUCAUACAUAAAAGAAUUCAGAAGAUUCAAAUAUUGUUCAUAGAUAAACUUGAUCAUAAACCCACAAUUCAUCGGUCUCAACAAACACACCGCAAAAGAAGAUUACAUCGAAUAGAUCUCCACAAGAGAGGGGGAGAACAUUGUAUUGAGAUCCAAAAAGAGAGAGGAAGCCAUCUAGCUAAUAACUAUGGACCCGAAGGUCUGAGGUAAACUACUCACACUUCAUCGAAGAGGCUAUGGUGUUGAUGUAGAAGCCCUCCAUGAUCGAUGCCCCCUCCGGCGGAGCUCCGGAACAGGCCAAGAUGGGAUCUCACGGGUACAGAAGGUUGCGGUGGUGGAAUUAGGUUUUUGGCUCCGUAUCUGGUAGUUUGGGGGUACGUAGGUAUAUAUAGGAGGAAGGAGUACGUCGGUGGAGCAACGUGGGGCCCAUGAGGGUGGAGGGCGCGCCUAGGGGGGUAGGCGCGCCCCCUACCUCGUGGCUUCCUGGUAGCUUUCUUGACGUAGGGUCCAAGUCCUCUGGAUCACGUUCAUUCCGAAAAUCACGUUCCCAAAGGUUUCAUUCCGUUUGGACUCCGUUUGAUAUUCUUUUUGUGCGAAACUCUGAAAUAGGCAAAAAAACAGCAAUUCUGGGCUGGGCCUCCGGUUAAUAGGUUAGUCCCAAAAAUAAUAUAAAAGUGUAUAAUAAAGGCCAAUAAUGUCCAAAACAGAAGAUAAUAUAGCAUGGGGCAAUAAAAAAUUAUAGAUACGUUGGAGACGUAUCAUGCUGCUGCUGGAGUUGCCUUCCCCAACCUCUCCCUCCACCUUGCUGGAUAAAGGCGCGGGAGAUGUCACCGGGCUGCACGUGUGUUGAACGCGGAGGCGCCGUUGUUCGGCGCUUAGAUCGGAAUCGACCGCGAUCUGAAUCGCUGCGUGUACGACUCCUCCAACCGCGUUCUUGCAAUGCUUCUGCAUCGCGAUCUUCAAGGGUAUGAAGAUGCACUCCCCUCUCUCUCGUUGCUAGUCUCUCCAUAGAUUGAUCUUGGUGAUGCAUAGAAUUUUUUUAAUUUCUACAACGAUCCCAACAGUAUUGAGAUACCGACGAUCGAAUCUCGGGCAAGUAACAUACCGAUGACAAAGGGAACAACGUAUGUUGUUAUGCGGUUUGACCGAUAAAGAUCUUCGUAGAAUAUGUAGGAGCCAAUAUGAGCAUCCAGGUUCCGCUAUUGGUUAUUGACCGGAGAUGUGUCUCGGUCUUGUCUACAUAGUUCUCGAACCCGUAGGGUCCGCACGCUUAACGUUCGAUGACGAUUUGUAUUAUGAGUUAUGUGAUUUGACGACCGAAGUUUGUUCGGAGUCCCGGAUGAGAUCACGGACAUGACGAGGAGCCUCGAAAUGGUCGAGAGGUAAAGAUUCAUACAUUGGAAGGCUAUAUUCGGACAUCGGAAAGGUUCCGAGUGAUUCGGGUAUUUUUCGGAGUAUCGGGAAGUUACGGGAAUUCACCAGGAGAAGUAAUGGGCCUUAUUGGGCCAUACAGGAAAGGAGGAGGCAGGCCAAUGGGGAGGUGGCCCCCCCCAUGGGUCCGAAUUGGACUAGGGGAAGGUGCCCCCUUGCCCUUUCCUACUCCCUCUCUCUUUCCCCCUUUCCUUCUCUCCUACUCCGAAAAGGAAAAAGGAUUCCUACUAGGACUUGGAAGUCCUAGUAGGACUCCAUACUCUUGGCGCGCCCCCUAGGCCGGCCGCCUCCUCCCUCCCUCCUUUAUAUAUGGGGGAGGGGAGCACCCCAAAGACACACAAGUUUCUCUUAGCCGUGUGCGGUGCCCCCCUCCACAGUUACACACCUCGGUCAUAUCGUCGUAGUGCUUAGGCGAAUCCCUGCGCCGGUAACUUCAUCAUCACCAUCACCACGCCGUCGUGCUAACGGAACUCUCACUCGUCCUCAACUAGAUCAAGAGCUCGAGGGACGUCAUUGUGCUGAACGUGUGCUGAACACGGAGGUGCCGUACGUUCGGUACUUGGAUCGGUUGGAUCGUGAAGACGUUCGACUACAUCAACCGCGUUACUAUCCGCUUCCGCUUUCGGUCUAUGAGGGUACGUGGACAUACUCUCCCGUCUCGUUGCUAUGCAUCUCCUAGUUAGAUCUUGCUUGAUCGUAGGAAAUAUUUUGAAAUGCUACGUUCCCCAACAGUUGCUGACCAUGUCGGCCAUCCCAAACGGCUUACAUGCAAGGAAGAAAUAUACUCGAUGGAGUAGUUAUCCUUCACGAGACCGUUCACGAGAUGCACCGGAAGAACAUGAGUGGGGUAGUAUUGAAAAUUGACUUUGAAAAGGCAUAUGAUAAAGUCAAAUGGUCAUUUCUACAGCAGACCCUGAGAAUGAAAGGUUUCUCCGAUAAAUGGCGUGAGUAGAUCCAAAUUUCGUUAUUGGAGGCAGUGUGGCUAUCAAAGUCAAAGAUGAUGUAGGCCAUUACUUCCAGACGAAAAAAGGAUUACGUCAAGGUGACUCACUGUCCAAUGUUAUUUAACAUUGUCGCUGACAUUCUGGCUACUUUGAUUGAACGCGCCAAACAGAAUGGUCAAAUUGCAGGAGUAGUGCCACAUCUUGUCGAUGGAGGACUCUCUAUCUUGCAAUAUGCCGAUGAUACGAUUCUUUUUAUGGAACAUGACCUUGAUAAGGCAAGAAAUCUGAAACUUCUGCUUUCAGCUUUUGAGCAAAUGUCAAGCUUGAAAAUCAACUUCCAUAAAAUUGAAUUGUUCUGUUUUGGAGAAGCCAAGGAGACGGCUGCACAAUAUGCUGACUUGUUUGGAUGUGCACAAGGCCAAUUCCUGAUUAAAUAUUUGGGAAUUCCGAUUCAUUAUCGGCGUCUCACUAAUACGGAGUGGAAACAUGUUGAAGAGCGAUUGGAGAAACGGUUGAGCAGUUGGAAAGGAAAAAUGCUCUCCGUUGGAGGACGACUAGUUUUGAUCAAUUCUGUCCUCACCAACAUGGUUCUCUACAUGCUCUCAUUUUUCCAACUACCCAAAGGGGUUCUGCAAAGACUGGAUUACUUCAGAUCCAGAUUUUUUGGCAAGGAGACAAUGAAAAGAAAAAGUAUAGAAUAACCAAAUGGAGCGUCGUUUGCCGACCGAAAGACCAAGGAGGCUUAGGUGUUCAGGACCUCCAGGUCAAGAAUGACGCCUUACUCAGUAAAUGGUUGUUCAAGCUUCUUACUGAGGAUGGUGUUUGGCAAACUAUGCUACGCAACAAGUAUUUAGGCCAAAAGGCGUUAUCCCAGGCUUAUUGGAAGCCCGGUGACUCGCAUUUUUGGGCUGGUCUGAUGGCGGUAAAGAAAAAAAUUUCCGUUUCGGAUCCUUCGCGAUAAAGGACGACUCGGAGAUAUGUUUCUGGGAGGACAACUGGCUAGGAAAUACCACUCUCCGAGAACAGUACCCAGCCUUGUACCGCAUUGUACGCAAUAAGAAUGAUACUCUUGCACAUGUGAUGACCACUUCCCCGCCAGAUAUAUCAUUCCGGAGGGAUUUGGUUGGGCCCCGUCUUGUGUCAUGGCAACAUCUUCUAUCCCGUUUGGAUUCGAUUAACUUGACACAAGGACGGGAUGUCUUUCGCUGGAAUCUUACUACAUCUGGGUCCUUCGCAGUUGACUAUGUAUCGUGCAUCGUCGCACACAGAGAUUCCAGUGGCCAAUAAUAAACAAAUCUGGAAAUCGAAGAUGCCACUAAAAGUUAAGAUUUUCAUAUGGUAUCUUCGGAGAGGAGUUGUGCUAACUAAAGACAACCUCGCUCGACGCAACUGGAAAGGAAGCAAGAAAUGUAGUUUUUGUACUCAUGACGAGACAAUCAAACAUCUCUUCCUUCAAUGCAAGUUUGCGUGUUCUACAUGGUCAAUUAUCCAAAUAGCGUCAAAUUUGUAUCCACCAACAAGUGUUACCAAUAUAUAUGGUCACUGGCUUGAUGGAAUACCAAAUACUUUUAAUACGCUAAUACGGGUGGGAGCGUCUGCCUUACUAUGGUCACUUUGGCUAUGUAGAAAUGAUUGUGUUUUUAAUGGCAAAAUCUCUUCUCCUAUGCAGGUUAUUUACCGUUAUACGCACUGGCUUCGUAUGUGGUCUACUCUGCACCGAACGGAGUACCAAUCGCUGUUCAAGGCGGUGUGUAUGCGGUUGGAGCGGGUGGCCAGGGAGGUUUUUAGCCAACAUGGUGGCAGCAUAAUCUCCGAAUCGGUCCACCUUCUCCGUCGACAUAGGCACAGUUUUGGCCGCAUAUGGCUUUACUGUUGCCACUUUGUCGUUUUUAUAUUUUUUGUCAGACUGUUUGUUUGAUGGUUGUGUGCAUCUUAGCUAUGCAGAGGCCGGGUGUCGUUCUUUAUGUUUUGUAUCCACUCGAUUCUACAUUUUGAGUUAAUAAAAACGCCUUUAUCGAAAAACAAGCCCCACGGUUUAGUUCAGUAGAAUCAGUACUGCAGUAGCGGACGACUGAUGCAUUGGACAGACAACUACAGAACUGCCGGUAUACUCCACUGGAUGCUAGUACGCUGAAGAUCACGUUGCAACAGCUUAGGAAGGCAGGCGGUCACCUCGCUCACGGAGCGAAAGGGGCAGCGGCUACCGCGGCGCCGGCGGUGCGGAGGAGGUAGUAGUAGCGCUGCGGGUUGGCCUCGAACGCCAGGCGGGAUAUCAGCAGACCGCGGGAUCCAGGGGCUUUCAUCAUGGCCACGGCCACCGACGCCGGCCAGAAGAACAUGUACGCGCCCACGGCGAUCACCGCUGCCGCAGCGGCCCCGAAGAUGAAGCCCGCCGGAACCGCCAUCAGUCGCGCUCGAUCCGAGCUUUGUUUUGGUGUAUGGCAGAAUAAAGGGGAGAAACGGGUGGUGAAAUGGGGUGGAAUAACGCAGAGCUCAAGGAGCCCAUAUAUUGUGCUGCCGCGCCGGUGCAUUUGCUGCAUUCUUGGGAGAGGAAGAGGAAGAGCUUGAGCUGGGAAGGCGAGAAGACUGACCCGGUAGUCUGCAGAGUAGAGUACAAGGCGACUCUGUUGCAGUUCCAAGUCUAGCAAGUGUUGUUUACGAGAUGGAAUGCAAACAGGCGCCCUGUCGUACUCCGAGUAUUGUUUCGUGGACAGCCGUUUCGCACUCCAUGGUCACUUCAGAGAAUGGAUUUUUUUUUGGAGGAUACUUCAGAGAAUGGUUAAUACUAUCCUCAACUGCUGGCUAUACGUAGCUGUCAUGCCACUUCUGUACACUUCUUUUUACACGAUCAUAUAUGCAGGUUGUGUCGAACUCGAGUGGCACAAGAGAUGGUAAGCAGUACCAUAUAAUAUAUAGCCGUAUAUGGUAGUAAUAUCAUAGCUUAAUACUUUUUCGGCAUCAAAAUAAUUGAAGUCGUAGAAUUAUCCUAAGUCAAAAUAUUUAAAGUUCGACCAAGUCUAUAAAAAAUAUAAUUAAAAAUCUACAAUAUCAAAUAUUAUGUAUAAUAUGGGAGGCGACACGGAGGAACAGUGAAGGGGUGAUGGGUAGGGAUCCAUCCGGUGAUGCUGCCUCGGUGGCGGCUGUGGCCUGGAGCUCUUAACCCACCCAUUAGGAUCUAUGUGGGAUUACGGCCCGGGUCGUGGCUUCAGGCAUCUUGGAGUCGUCGGGCCUCAAUGGCUACUAGGCAUCAUGGUGGCCGUUAUGGCUUAGGCGGCGAGGAGCGGCGGCGGCGGCGGAUUGAACCAAUGUGAACGGUGUUGCCCAAAUCAAGUGGGCUGGGAUGAGGUGUCCGACGAAACAAAUGAAUGUCCUGUCCGUCUUCAGUCAAUGCCAAUAGUGACAACAUCCAUGGGUGUUGUUUUCACUCCUUGGAGGCAUCACUGAAGUGUGCCGGCAUCCCACUAUCACUUGGGUUGUUGUUUUUAAGGACGAAAGCCUAGGUUCAGUUUCAUAUCGGCGAUGGUGGCGCUCCUUGACGUCGCUUCUUUGUUGGGAGCAUCAUAUUUGGAGACAUGACUUAAAGGUUGUGUGUUGCAUUCAUUCGUGUUUGCCACUUCUCUGGGUUGAUCUUCAUGGGCGCAAUGCACGUUUGGCGCGGAUGAGUCCAAGAUGAUGGCUUUCUCGGGACUGGUCGUGUCGCGCCACCCACUUGCCGUACUCAGGACUCCUAUAGGCCUUCAAGAAUGGUUGGUGCGUUGAUAAGGGAAGUUCAAUUUGAGUUAUUGCUCUGCUCUGGCCUUUGCCACCAUGACGUGUGACACGUACCUUGUGCAGACACGAUACCGGCCGCUCCUCCGCCUCAACCCGAAUGACUUCAUCCUGUUUUUGGACAAGAUCUUUGCCGACCGGUAGGAGAACAUGCCGUACACCUUGCUCCCUGAGUCGGUCACUAGUCUGGCAUCUCUAGCCAAUCCCUUAUAAUUUAGCCCCUCAAACGGCCCACCGCCAUCGGAUCUAGGCCAGAAAUUGAACCGCUCGCCUCCACCACACCGACUGUGGCGCUCCUGCGCCAACCUCGCUGGCCCACCUCCCCUCACCGUCACCCAUCGCCGAGCAUGCGCCUUCCCGACCAUCUUUCUAAACCAUUGCACCACCAGACUUUAGCAGUGAACCCGACCCCCCUCCCUCACCACCGUCUGCCUCUGACUCCCCUCCACCAGCUUGCCUCGUUCCUGCCAGAAGCCUUGCUGACGUCCCGGCCCUUGCUCGCCACUCACGGGCUCGAUGGUGCGCCUCGUCUCUUCUUUCUCCCGCAAAUUGACCACCAGAUAUUUUUGAAGUGUAGAUUCACUCAUUCUACUUCGUAUGUAGUCGGUAGUGGAAUCUCUUGAAAGACUUAUAUUUAGGAAUGAAGGUAGUAACAUUUACCAAAACUGAAAAAGAACUGUAGCACCUGAUGUGCUGCAGAGCCUACACAGGAGAACUGCAUUGCGCGCAUAUAAAGAAAGAGCAGCCACACAUCGAAACUUAGGAUGAGUCUCCAUGUUGAUUACUCAUUACAUAGCCAUAACAUACUUGAGAGUUGAGACAUGACAGACACCACCUAGUAUGAGUAGCGCAGAACACAUUUCCACACGUACACCAUAUAUGUGCGUAGCAUGCCUGGAGGAGAAGCGCAUGUACACGCGCUGGGAUUUUUUGUCCAAAAGGACCCCCUGCCAAAAUGAAUUGACAAAAAAGACUACCUGUGGAUCAAUUUGACAAAAAGUACCCCCUCAGCAGUGGCAGCAGGCGCGGCAGGCGAUACGUGGCACCUGCCGCCACGCCAGGAGGCGGCGGGCCCUGCCGCCACUGCAGGAGGCGGCAACAAGGGUAAAACGCGAUUCGCACAGUACCCCGAGCCAGGACGGAACGGGCGAGGCUAGGUGGGCCACGCCGCCACUAUGCGAGGCGGCCUCUGUUGCCGCUGUCGCUCGCAGGCCAACAGGCCGUGCUGUUCGCGGGCCCAGCCUGUGGGCCACGCCGCCACCGCAGCAGGCGGCAUCCCUCUGUUGCUGCACGCGCGACAACGUCGCAGACGGCGCUGAUUUUUACGGGCGGAAAUCUGUGCAUAUUUGACCGCUUGUGCUGGUUGGUUUUCUCUACUCGCGAUGAUUCUGCUGCCCGUGAGCUGGCUUUUGCGACUGCUUUGUAUGCACCCGCACUGAUUCCACCGCGGUGCUGCCUAGGGACUCAACUGCCUUUUGCUUGAGCGGACGCGACGGCACUGCGGGAAUCACUCACCCAGCGCUGGCUUUUGCUUCAAAGGACGCGAUGGCACUGUAUUAAUACACUCACUCGCUGCGGGAAUCCGAGGCUGCGGUAGGUGAGUUUAUCCUGUUGUGCCGACACCACAGAGAUCCUCUUCUUUUUAUAUACUAUGCUUCAGCUCCGUGCACAAGCACACUGUCUCUGGCCUUCUCUUCUGCUCUCUAAGUCGUAAGAACGGAGAGAAAGAAGUACUCACUAAGCACUUUCACUCAUGAUUUAGGGCGAUUUAGAGUUGGAUUUUGAAUAUGCUGAAGUGGAAGAAAAGAUAGACGAAGGUAAGAUCUAUCCAUUUUUGUUGGUUUCGUUCGCAUGCAUGAUGUUUUUACUCUUUUUGUUUAGUUCAUAACUAUGUGUUCUCUGUUUUGUUAGGCAUUAUUUCAUCACUUUUUGGAGUCAUUUAGAGCUUCAGGAGUACGAUUUGCCUAGCGAAGUGAACUACGAAGUUGAAGAUCAAGGUAUGAGCUUUGCAAUAAAUUGAUUUUUUUGUGCAUGCAGGAUGGUAAUUAGUUAGUCUUUUAGCUCGUCAUUAGCUAUGCAAUGUUAGUGCUUAGAGGUUAGAAAUAAUUUCAGACAACAGAUGUACCAUUUAUAAUAUAUUUUUUAGAAGAGUAGGUUGAAGAUGUUGUAUCAAUGUUAGGUGCGUCCAUUAGUAUUGACAUGUGAGAAAUCUUAAUAUGGUAAUUAAGAAAAACUUGUACUGUAAUUGUUCAUUGCAUGUGGUACGUUAUUUCAUGUGGUAUGUUUAUUAAUAAGUCUAUAGUUAGAAAACCGUAGGUCUACUUUGUUAUGUCGCAAUAAUCUAAAUUUUAUAUGUUAAGAUUAGGUGCUAAUGUACUUAAUGAUGUAUGUAAUUAGGUAAAAUAAUUCAUCUUAGUAGCAAACAAGGAGGAGAUGACGUGAUUGAAGAAAUUGUGUAUCCAUCUUCGCUGUCCCUUGUGAGGUGAUGACCACAUACAUGCAAGUGCUAUUUUCAUACUUUUGAUAGCAGAAAGAAAAAUCCGUGUGUAAUAUUGAUGUUCAUGUGAUAAUAGGUCGACUCCGUUCAUAUAUUACUGGUGACGGAUAUUUAUUCGAACUAUUUGGACGCUUAAUUGCAUUCGCAAGCACAUCCAUAUUGGAGCUAAGGUAUAAAAUGACGCCGUAAUGUUGUUAAUAUUUUUUAUAUUGAUGUACUGUUGUGAAUAAUAUGCAUGCCGCUGCAAAUAUUAUUAUUUGUAAAUAAAUGAUUGCUAUCGUAUGAUAUGAAAAAAUUAUAUAAAGCCGGAAGAAAUUAAAUGUUUUACUCAUAUGAUAUUAAAAUGUUAUUAUCAUACUAUUAUGUUUAGUGGUUGUUUGUCAUAACGAGUAAUUACCAUCGGUUUUGUCAUAACUUGUUGAAGAAAAUUAGUUUUUACUAAUAAUCGUUUUUCCAAAAGCUCAGUUUUUGCAUGUUACGAGAAUCAGUUUAGGAUAUUUUUGGGGUAGUUGGAGAAAAGCAAACGGAGUUUUAGUUUGUGACGCUCGUAGACGAGUUAGAGAAAAAAAAAGAUCUCUAAAUACCCAUAACCAAACAACCCCGGAAAGUCUAAGCAAAUGAUUCUAAAAACAAAACGAAUAUUUAUAACGAAAAUACGAUUAUUAUUUUAGUCGUCUGAUAUGUAAAUGUUGUCAUUGUACUACUAUUAAAUGUUCAGUUACUAAUUGUUUGAAAUGUAAACAUGUAUUUUGGUUAGGUACUAUGGAAAAUUUAGUAGUGUACUAUGGGAAUGUCUUACGGGACGGUCCUUUCGGGGUGGAUGUGUCCUUGUGCGAGUCGACUACAGUUGUAGUUAGAGACAUGGUGAACGUGGGUUACGCAGCUGUCAGAAGGUGCCUCCGAGCGGUGUUUGGCCCAGGGAUGCAGGGAAAAAAAUGACAAUGGAGGCCUUCGUCGCUGACGGAGCAAAUGAUGGGAUAGCUGCCCGUUGGGGUUUGCGGCCUGUCACAGGUGAUCAGUCGUGGGGGUCGUACAUGAGGUUUGCAAGCAAUCCCAAUAACCCAGUGUUUGGUCAGCCGAUGGUGUAUGUGGAGUUCAUUUCAGUCACUGAUGUUGCCGGAUGCAGUAGCAGGGGCGGUGAGGUCGAGUUGGCCAUCACAUCAGCCCCUAGCAUCGGCCCAUCGGAAGCGACAGGCGACCGGCCUGUGUAUGACACAUGAUAUUGGACUGCGGCCGUUGACAUGAGUGAACACGUGGAGGGAUUGCCGGAGGCGCUCGAUGAUGACGAUCACUCUUCCGCGUCUUCCGAGUCAAGCGAAGAAGAAGAUGUUCCUCCCCAGAGGACGGUCGCGGCGUCACUGCAACCUGGGUUUUUACAGGAUAUGAGCAUCACAAAUGAAUUUCACUCUGUUUCUGGCCUAGAAGCGGGGAGCCUGGAGGUUGGGCAGGUUUUCCUAGACAAGAAGUCUGCUUACCAAGCAAUUAAUAGGUAUGCAAUCGCCCUCCACCGCCAGCAAAAAGUGAAGCAGUCUGAUAAAAAAGAGUUGAAGGUCAUAUGCAUCCACACCGCGAAAGGUUGCCGCGGAAGAGUUCUCGCUAGACUGAAGCCUGGGGUAUGUCAGUCAUGGCAUAUCACAAAAAUAGUGCAGCAUAGCUGUGAGCAAACUGGGACUCUUUCAAAUCACUGCAAUGUGACGGCAAGAUAUGUGGCACAGGUGAUGGAAACGAUUGUGCAGGGAAGUCUCAACAUUAGUGUUAGGGCUUUGCAAAAAGAUGCAGAAGAUCAGAUUGGCUUCCCUGUCAGCUACAGCAAGGCUAGGCGUGCGAAGGAAAAUAUAUUCAAGAACUUGUAUGGAACCUAUGAGGAGGCCUAUUCUUAUGCCCCCAGAAUGCUUCAUCAGAUAGCAAGUGCUAAUAGGGGGACUCAAGUUUGGCGGAGAGAACGUCAGAACCCAAAGAACCCGGGUGAGCUAAUCCUUGACCGCUUAUUCUGGGCAUUCGCCCAGACUAUACAAGCCUUCAGGCACUGUCGCCCGGUAUUAUCAGUUGAUGGUACCUUUCUCACUGGAAAGUACAAGGGCACACUAUUGGUGACGAUUGCAGCAGAUGCAAAUAAUCUGCUUCUUCCUAUUGAAUACGCACCGGUCGAGAGCGAGAACAAAGAUAGCUGGUUGUGGUUCCUGAGCUGCGUGAAGAUGGGUGUCGUGAAAGAGCGUAUAGGUGUUUGCAUCAUCUCUGAUCGCAACACAGGAUUAUUAAGUGCUCUCAACAUAAUUAAGGAGUCGUCAGAAGAGUGGGGGUGGCCGGAUCUAGAGGGAAGGUGGUGCAUGCGGCAUUUGGCAGCAAACUUUUACUCCAAAUUCAAGAAUAAGGAUUGGUUCAAGUUAUUCAAGAGGAUGUGCAUGCACAAAACUGAAGCCAAAAUGAAUGCCAUCUGGGCAGGUAUCAAUGGUGAGAUCGAGCGCGCGGCCUUGCCGCAGAGAGAAGACCGGAGGGGUCGAAGGACGACCAUAAAUUUGAGCCAGUGGAUCGGCAAGAAUUGCCCUGAUUUGUACAAGUGGGCGCAGGCUCACGACACCGGGGCUCGGUAUGGAAUAAUGACCAGCAACAUGUCAGAGGUGUACAAUGGUGUUCUUAAAGGGGUGAGAGCCUUACCUAUCACAGCCCUAAUUGAAGAAACUUGGAACCGGACCCUGUCAUACUUUGCAGACAGGGUUACCGUGGCUAAAGCACAAGUUGAAUUGAACAAGCCAUGGUCCGAGAAGAUGCAAAGACAUCUGAACGAGAAAGCAAAGAAGUCCCAAAGCCAUGGCUGCAGGAAAGUGGACGCACUUAGGAAUAAGUGGGAGGUCAAUGUGCGAGCCAAGUAUGUUAAGGGUCACCACAGAGGAUCAAAAAAGCAAGCUGUCACCCUCAGCCCAACAUCCUGUGAGUGCACGUGUAACAAGGCCAAGCUUGAGGGCUACCCUUGUAGUCAUGUGCUCCGGGCAGCUGCAGAUAAAAAAAAUCAGUGUUGAGCCAUACAUAUCACCGUACUUCAACAUGUACAAUCUGUACAACACUUGGAACGGUGAGUUCAGGGCCUGGGGCAUUGAUAUGAACUACAAAAUGAUGUGGCCAGAUGGGCCGAAAUGGGUUCCGAAUGCCGACUUGAUGAGAACCGCCAAGGGACGACGUCAGUCUAGGCGUCAUCGCAAUGACAUGGACCAUAGCCAGAUGGGAGAACCAAGGCGAUGCCGCGUUUGUAGGUGUCCUGGACAUUCACGUAGGGAAUGCCUGUAUCGAGCGAACAACACCGCAUGAUGUUCAUUUAUCUGUACUCGCUAUGUCUACUUAUAUUUGUAUUAUACUUUUAUUAAUUUAAAUUGAAUAUGUUUGUAUUAUUGAAUCUCUUUGUGUUAUUGUAUUUAUAUUUAUUUUAAAUUGAAUCUCUUUGUAUUAUUGUGUUAUUGUAUUUAUAUUUAUUUUAAAUUGAAUCUCUUUGUAUUAUUGAAUCUCCUUGUGUUUUUUUGUAUGUUUGUGUGCAGGUUAUGGCUGAAGUGCCACGGCUUUUGGAGGGGCCCCAUGACGCCGGCCACCGUUGCCACCUAUCUUUGAACCCAAAUAAAGAACAUGAUUAUCGGAGUUUCAGACUUCGAACCGUAAAGAAAACCUGGCCAAUACACAAUUAUUUCAUUCCUCACCUUGACGCUUAUGGACUACAUGCUUUUGCUAGGCUCACAUCAAGCGAAGACCCAUCCCAGUUACGUUCGGACCCAUCCCUUUUGACAUCCCUCGUUGACCGGUGGAGACCUGAAACCCACACCUUUCACUUUCAUUUUGGGGAGCUUGCACCUACACUGAAAGAUGUUUCUAUGAUCCUUGCUCUACCAAUUAGAGGUGAGCCGUUAGUCUCUCGACGAGUGUCUAAAACUUGGGCACAAAAUAUAUCAGACCGUCUUGGGAUGACAAUGCCAGAAUCACAACAUACUGGUGGCCCUCGUGGCAUCCCACUCCCCUGGCUUCAUGAUAACUUUCUUAAUUUUUCUAGCUUCGCUGAUUCUGAGACGAGGAAAAGACAUCUGUUUGCGUAUUUGUUGUGGCUCCUCAGGGUUAUGUUUCCAAAUUCACACGGGGACGUACUUCUCCCUGGUCUCAUCUACAUUGUGGAGAAGAUGGUAGUUGAACCUUUACCCGAGCAGCCAAAAUACAGCUUCGGUUCUGCCAUUCUAUCUCAUACAUAUAGAGGCUUGUGUGAUGCCACACAAAAAACUUCCUUCGCAAAAAAAGCUCCGUUACUUUAUGUCCCCUACGAGUUUCUACAGUUGUGGUCCUGGGAAUACCUCCCUGUAGGACGACCUCGUAUAAUAAAUCCCAUACACCCAUACGACUAUAGGGAGGGCAGCUGUGUAACUAUGGCCAGCAGGUGGACAAAGGCACGGAAACAUUGGUCUCCAAGUAUUGCGAAAAAUUGUUACUGUAACGCCCACGAUGCGGCUAUAUCUCCCACGUGCCGAGGCACGACUUAGAGGCAUAACCGCAUUGUAGGCACCAAGAACAAUGUUCUCGUCACAAAGUCAUCGGAACGAUUCCAAGAUACCCGCGUUAUCCUAAAAAUAAUUUAGUGAAAUUUGAGGAGAGAAGAGUCAACACUUCUACGUCAGGAGGCCUCACCAGAGUGACGAAGGGACUGAGGAGUAAAAAGAAUCCUACUCUCCGAUAUAUAUAAUCCUAAGACUCAAAACAUUUUUCUUCUAGACUCAACAACGCCAGCGAUUCGAUCAAGCAGGGGGCUCCUAAGUCGAGGAUGGCUCUGAUUACCAACUUGUAACGCCCACGAUGCGGCUAUAUCUCCCACGUGUCGAGGCACGACUUAGAGGCAUAACCGCAUUGUAGGUAUUGUCGCAAGAAGGGUCAUCUUCACACAAUCCCAUGUAAUGAAUAAGAAUGGGAUAACGAGAGUUGGCUUACAAUCGCCACUUCACACAAUACAUAAUUUAAUUCAUACCAUCCAAAAUCCACACAUAGACCGACUACGGUCAAAUCCAAAUGAAAAUAAGAUAACCCCAAAUGCUAGAUCCCCGAUCGUCCCAACUGGGCUCCACUACUGAUCAUCAGGAAAAGAAACAUAGUAACGACCACGUUCCUCGUCGAACUCCCACUUGAGCUCGGUUGCAUCAUCUGCACUGGUAUCGUCGGCACCUGCAACUGUUUUGGUAGAAUCUGUGAGUCACGAGGACUCAGCAAUCUCACACCCGCGAGAUCAAGACUAUGUAAGCUUAUAGGAAAGGAUGGUGUAAUGAGGUGGAGCUGCAGCAGGCACUAAGCAUAUAUGGUGGCUAACAUACGCAAAAGAGAGCGAGAAGAGAAGCAUCGCAACGGUCGCGAAGCUAGAAAUGAUCAAGAAGUGAUCCUGAAACUCUUACGUUCAUGCAUAACUCAAACCGUCUUCAUUUCCCGGACUCCGCCGAAAAGAGACCAUCACGGCUACACACACGGUUGAUGUAUUUUAAUUAAGUCAAGUGACAAGUUCUCUACAACCGGACAUUAACAAAUUCCCAUCUGCCACAUAACCGCGGGCACGGCUUUCGAAAGAUAAUACCCUGCAGGGACCAUCACGGCUACACACACGGUUGAUGUAUUUUAAUUAAGUCAAGUGACAAGUUCUCUACAACCGGACAUUAACAAAUUCCCAUCUGCCACAUAACCGCGGGCACGGCUUUCGAAAGAUAAUACCCUGCAGGGGUGUCCCAACUUAGGCCAUUAUAAGCUCUCACGGUCAACGAAGGAUAAACCUUCUCCCGGGAAGACCCGAUCAGUCUCGGAAUCCCGGUUUACAAGACAUCUCGACAAUGGUAAAACAAGACCAGCAAGACCGCCCGCUGUGCCGACAAAUCCCGAUAGGAGCUGCACAUAUCUCGUUCUCAGGGCACACCGGAUAAGCUAAGCGUACAGGUACCAACGUAACCCAAGUUGCCAAGGGACGGUCCCGCACGGUGCUCUAGUUUGGACCAACACUCGGAGGAGCACUGGCCCGGGGGUUAAAAUAAAGAUGACCCUCGGGCUCGCGAAAACCCAAUGGAAAAGGCUUAGGUAGGCAAAUGGUAAACCAAGGUUGGGCCUUGCUGGAGGAGUUUUAUUCAAGGCGAACUGUCAAGGAGGUCCCAUAAAUCACCCAACCGCGUAAGGAACGCAAACUCAAGGAACAUAAUACCGGUAUGACGGAAACUAGGGCGGCAAGAGUGGAACAAAAACACCAGGCAUAGGGCCGAGCCUUCCACCCUUUAUCAAAUAUAUAGAUGUAUUAAUUAAAUAAGAGAUAUAGUGAUAUUCCAAAAAUAUCCAUGUUCCAACAUGGAACCAACUUCAACUUCACCUGCAACUACCAACGCUAUAAGAAGGGCUGAGCAAAAGCGGUAACUUAGCCAAACAACGGUUUGCUAGGAAAGGAUGGUUAGAGGCUUGACAUGGCAAUAUGAGAGGCAUGAUAUAGCAAGUGGUAGGUAGCGCAGCAUGGCAAUAGAACGAACAACUAGCAAAGCAAAGAUAGAAGUGAUUUCGAGGGUAUGGUCAUCUUGCCCGCAAGGUUCUCAGAGUUGUCGAAAGCUUGAUCCUCGUAAGCGUACUCAACAGGUUCCUCGUUCACGAACUCGUCUCCCGGCUCUACCACAGCAAGAACACAAUCAACGGAACCACAAUCAAUCACAGGAAAUGCACAAGCAACAUGAUGCAAUACAUGCAUGAUAUGCGAGAUGUGAUAUGCGAUGCAUAUGCGUGCUCCGGAAGAAAAAGGAUGAACAAGGCAGUAACUUGGCAAACCAAGUAUGCCACUGAAAAGAUGAGAUGAUUUCGGUCGAAAUCGAUAUAAAUAUCACCGGAAACGGAUGCACGGUUUGCAAGUGGCAAGCAAAACAAGAAUGACACGAUUCUGCGAUUAACAGCAUGAUAGCACUUAGAAUACAUCAAGUAGCUAUGCCACAGCACCCCAACAUAGUAACAAAGCAUAUAGCAGUGAUCUACAGGAGAUGCUUGACAAAAUAUGAACACUGAGCUACGGCUAGAUCACAAUAUAACAGGUACAAACAAGCAUGACAAAAGUGCAAAAGAUAUCAGUUUCACAGACUUUGUGAAAUUACUGGACAUGGCAGAAACAACAUCAGGUAGCAAAUUUCAGAGCAAGGAAAACACAUGCUACGGGAAGUUAACAUAGCAAAACAGGGCAUGCAAUGAAUCUACUAAAUGCAUAUAACAAAAGUCCAUUACUGACCAUGAGCCAAAAAGGACCAGAAGAUAUGAUGGCACUCAUGUAAACAUAGCAAGUUUCGUUAACAGGUUUCAGACUUAGCAGUAAACAGAACACGACAUUAACAGAAAUUAUGAGGGCAUCUUGGUGAGCUUGAUUCACUCAUCACAAAGCAAUGCAUGACAAAACAAGCAUAUCUACAGCAAGAAGACAUGUUUAUGAAGCUAACCAUGGUAAGAUCAAGUUCAUAGCAUGUAUGGAUCAACUACAACAACCUUGGCAAAAUUGAAUAUCAAGUUAACAAUCUGCCAGGAAUAUUUAAUAGCAACAGUAGAGCAAGAUUAAGACAUGCUAGGGCACUCCAUAAUUGCAAACAGGGGCAUGGAUGGAUAGAGCACAACUAUAUAUACAAAACAUCCUUACUGAGCAUACUCAAAAGAAGCAUGGAUCUCUCUGUAGCCACAUGGAUACAUGGCAAGAAAAUAACAGCAGAUAAAAAACUUAGCAAAAUCUCAAGUCCCUGAAAACAGAAACAGCAUGAAGCCUAGUUUGCAUGCUUGUGCUAGUCACCACAUAGAUUACAAAAAUACAUGGAAUACACCCCUGUAAAGAUGGCAUGGCAUAGAUCAAAACACCUGUAGAGCUCAUGCCCAUAAGAUGCACACAACAAAUGUAACAAAAAUAACAAAACAUCAAGUUCUGAUAAGUAACAGCAGUAAACAUCAUAUAGCACUCUGGUACCAGAGAUUUGGGCACAAGAUGUACUCAAACGAGCAUGGCACAAUGGAACAAAAUGAAAAGCAUCUCGAGUCGAACAUUUUGAUAUAUCAUGCGUGCAAAACGGAGCAGUAUGCAGUGAGAUAUGAUGCAAUGAACAUGAGCACAUAAUGUGAAAAUACUUCGGGACUUGGAGAAUUUCGGGGGGGGGAGUCAACCUUCUCUUGGAUCUGGAUCGGGGUGCGCAAUCCGAGGUCCGCCGGGGUUCGGUCGGAGUUGGAGAGGAGGAGGCCGGAGAUGAANNNNNNNNNNNNNNNNNNNNNNNNNNNNNNNNNNNNNNNNNNNNNNNNNNNNNNNNNNNNNNNNNNNNNNNNNNNNNNNNNNNNNNNNNNNNNNNNNNNNNNNNNNNNNNNNNNNNNNNNNNNNNNNNNNNNNNNNNNNNNNNNNNNNNNNNNNNNNNNNNNNNNNNNNNNNNNNNNNNNNNNNNNNNNNNNNNNNNNNNNNNNNNNNNNNNNNNNNNNNNNNNNNNNNNNNNNNNNNNNNNNNNNNNNNNNNNNNNNNNNNNNNNNNNNNNNNNNNNNNNNNNNNNNNNNNNNNNNNNNNNNNNNNNNNNNNNNNNNNNNNNNNNNNNNNNNNNNNNNNNNNNNNNNNNNNNNNNNNNNNNNNNNNNNNNNNNNNNNNNNNNNNNNNNNNNNNNNNNNNNNNNNNNNNNNNNNNNNNNNNNNNNNNNNNNNNNNNNNNNNNNNNNNNNNNNNNNNNNNNNNNNNNNNNNNNNNNNNNNNNNNNNNNNNNNNNNNNNNNNNNNNNNNNNNNNNNNNNNNNNNNNNNNNNNNNNNNNNNNNNNNNNNNNNNNNNNNNNNNNNNNNNNNNNCGUGGGCCGGGAGGGCCCGAUCCGGGCCCUGGCGGGCCGCGGCGCGGGGACGGCGGCGGCGCCCACGUGGCACGGUCCAGUUGGCUCGGGGCGGCGGUGGAAAUCUGUCUGGCGCAGGUGCAGACGUGUCCGGCGCACGGAGGAAGAAGGAGGCUAGGGUUAGGGUGGAAUCAUCCGCGAAUUUCGGGGGAGGGGGUGUUUAUAUAGUCAUAGGGAGCUAGGAGAGUCCAAAUGAGGCACGGUUUUCGCCCACACGAUCGUGAUCGAACGACCGAGAGCAUGGAGGGGACUUAGAUGGGUUAUUGAGUCGUUUGGAGGGGGUUUUGUUGCAACACACAAAAGGACUUUGCGGUUACCCGAUUAACCGUUGGAGCAUCAAACGACCUCCAAAUGGAACGAAACUUGACAGGUGGUCUACCGGUGGUAUACCAAGGCCACUUGGCAAUCCUCGGUCCAUUCCGAGAAUGUUUAACACCCGCUCAUGAAAAGAAACAAGAGGGGUGCGCCGGUGCACGUGGGAGUGCCGGAUUGCAAAACGGACAACGGGGAAAAUGCUCGGACACAUGAGACGGACACGUAUGCAAAUGAGAUGUAAAUGAUGACAUGAUAUGAGAUGCAUGACAUGAACAAAAUGCAAAACGAAAGACAAAACCCAACCACGGAGGGAAUAUCAUAACGCAUAGCCAAAAAUGGCAAGAGUUAGAGUUACAAAUAUGGAAAGUUACAUCCGGGGUGUUACAGUUACCCUAUAUACCAGCAGCAGUUUGAGGCACUUGAUGAGUCUGUAGUCACAUGGAACCCAUGGACUCAGGAGCAUGUACAGAUGGUCUUUGAUAUACGACCCAUCACAGCAGGCAUGUUGACCGAUAGUGCAUUCUGGCUGACUCUCUGCUACUUAUUGUUCCUGUGGUGUGUUGAGCCUUACAACCCAGAGCGUGUCAUGAGACAGUUCGGUCUGCAUCAGGAAAUUCCACCACCUUUUCCAAGAUGUACGGACGAGGAAACCCAUAAGUAAGAUGUGACCUCCCUAAAUAGUUAGUGUCAUUUUUAAUUUACUAAACUCACACUUUGCUACAUAAUUUGCAGGCUAACCAAUAUGGGCCACGGUUGGAGUCUUUACGAUUGGAGGGAACGCAACAUUCAAUGGGUACAGAAGUGGGAAAAUGAAGCGCUAGCAGAUAUAGUGUAUCAACUUAGGUACAUUUUAUUUACAUUAUUUUAUUACGAUGACCAUACGAUGCAUGAAGAUGCUUUGCUUUCAUCAUAACGGUUGAUGUUAUUAUAUAAUUUUGCAGACCGUACGAUGGAAGUACAGCUCAAGCGUACAAGCAGUGGUACUGCAUCAGCACGCAUACAAGCCUGGCCGGUCAACCAGCUACGAUACCAACAAAUCUCACGCACGAGGAGCAGAUGCAGAGACAUGUUGAGCUGCAUGCAGCUUACUAUCAUGACCGGAUGGUAAUCACUAGUAAUUUUUUCAGGUCCAUCAUUUCAUAAUCAUUUCAACCAAAUAACAACCAAAUAUUUUAUGAUCCCUGUAGUGUCGGCACAACAGGUUCCCGCAGCCUAGGAUUCCUUCCGCAGUGCCGUCGCACCCACUCAAGCAGAACAAGCAAAAGCAGGAGUGAUUCCCGGACAGAAGAAAAGCAGAAGUGAUUCCCGGACAGAAGAAAAGCAGGAGUGAUUCCCGGGAAAAGCAGCAGCACAUCAGCGUCCAUUUUCCGCCGUUGGAAUUAGCGUCGUCAGCUGUCAUGGGAAUCAGCGCCAUCAGUGGUCAGGGGCUGUCGGCCAGCCAGCGCGCCAGGAGAGGCCGCCUCCGGCAAUGGCGGCGAGGCCCACCGGCGGGGCCUGCGGCCUGCACGGCCUGUCGGCCAGCCAACGACCACGCCUAGGAGAGGCCGCCUCCGCCCGUGGCGGCAGGGCCCACCUGGCCCGCCCCGUUCCGUCGCGGCGCGGUGAGUAGUUGGGAUUCCCGUUCGGCUGGGUGGCCGCCUCCUGGCGUGGCGGCAGGUGCCACGUGUCGCCUGCCGCACCUGCCGCCAUGGCCCAGGGGUCUUUUUUGUCAAAUUUAUUCACAGAUAGUCCUUUUUGACAAUUCCGUUGGCCAGGGGGUCCUUUUGGACAAAAAAUCAAGCUGAAAUAGUACUACAGUACGUAGUAGUAGUCAUCAGUCAUCCAAAUAGAAAACACAGUACGCUGGUCAGCAAGCACGCCACAAGGUCGCUUGCGAAGCUCCAAAGAGAGCACACGGCAGGGAUCAAGAUACCAAGAAGAAUGUCACCAUAUAUGAAACCGGCUACGUCGAGGACGACGCCUCCGAACGAACACACGGCAGGGAUCAAGAAACCACGAAUAAGACUAGCGUACGCGAGUCCGACGGUAGCGCCUCCGAAGCUCAGAAGAGAACGCAGGACGGGAACCAAGAAACCACACAGAAGGCCGCUAUACAUUAAGCCAGCGACACCGCCUGCGAAGCUCAGGAAUGAGCACACGACGGGGAUGAAAAAACCACGAACGAGACUAUCAUAUGUGAAACUGGCGACGCCGGAUCCGAAGCUCAAAAGAGAUGACACGACGGGGAUCAAGGAACCACAAAGAAGACUUAGAAAACCAGCGACGUAGCUUCCUGAGCUAAAAAGGAAGUGCAUAGCGCAGGUCAGGAGACGUGGGAGAAGAGUGCCAAAUACGAAAGCAGCGACGGCGCCCGCGAAGCUCAAAAGAGAAGACACGAGAGGGACGAAGAAACCACGAAGACGACGGCCAUACACGAAACCGGCGGCAGCGAUUCCGAAGCGCGAAAGAUAACCCAUGGCGCGGAUCAAUGAGUGGCGAAAACCACCGAGCAGGGAAGCGAGCUCCGGGUGGGCGGCGCACGCGCAUGCCUCCCGCGAAAUUAAGAUCCCCGCGUCGUCGCCCGGUGUCUUCGUCAUCUCGGCCGGCGAGAAGUGGGCGUACACGGCCACCACGACCGCCAGGAUCACGGCCCAGAAGAUCACGUCGAUUAGUGGAGAUGAGAACGACUCCAUGUUUCUCGCUCUAGUGGCCGAGUUUGGGGAGUAGUAGUGGGGAGACGAUCGGAUAGGCAGAGGUUGAGGUGUGGAAAGUGCGUACUAUUAAACGUCACAUUGGUUAGUUUUUUUAUACUCUCGUCCAUUCCAGGGAAGACGUCAAAGAUCAUCAAGGAAGGAAAAGAUUACCAUGUUCUGGAUCGUAGUGCCCCUCGUAAUCUCAUGAUCAAUUAAUUCUGCCAACGAUACAUUGGGUAGCUGUAUGUAUUGGGAACCAGCAAUGCACGAGUUUUAAGUUUUACCGCGACGUUUGAGACUCGUACUACAUCAUGGAUGACCCGUGCUGUGCUUCGCUGUGACGUUUAGGGACUUGCGCACGGUGCUCCGCUGCAUGCGGAUACAAAGUUAGGGCUUCCUUGAUUCAAAGGAUUCUCAAAGGAAUUUUGGAGGAUUCUAAUCUUUAGGAAUUUUUUUCUAUAUGGUUGUUUGAUUCGUAGGAUUGUAAGCCAUAGGAAUUUUUUCAUAGAAUUCAUUUGCACUAGAUUUCAUAGGAAAUUUUCCAUCCACUCAAACCUCUUUGAAAAAAUUCUACGUUUUUCCUAUGCACAAUCAAACACUCAUACAAUCCUGUAGAAUUUAAGAUGACAUGCCACUCCAAUCCCACAUUUUUUAUAUUCCCGCGUUUUGGAAAUCUUACGAAUCAAAGAGGCUUUUAACAAGUACUCUGAAGGAAUUAAGGAUGCAGAUUAUAUGGGUGGCCUCCAAGGAGGCUGAUCGUAAGCACUGAAAUUAGUACUCCCUUCAUAAAGAAAUAUUAGAGCGUUUAUUUAUCUAAACGCUUUUAUAUUUCUUUACAGAGAGAGUAGUGUGGAAUUUCUGAGGGAAUUAAGGUUGCAGGUUGGAUCGGUGGCCUUAGAGAGGGCUGAUCGUAAGCAAUGAAAUUAUUAGUGUGGAAUUGUCACGGCAUUGGCCGUGUGGCGGUAAAAAAUUUCUCCUAGAAAUCCGAAAGCAAGUGUGGUCAAAUGUGAUUUUUCUGUCUUAGUUGCAUCUAAACAAAGUUAGACUAGUCUCAAUGGGUAGUAAUUUAGACUAAUAAUAUGCAUAUGUUAUUAGUCUAUGUUACUACCUCUAUAGUGGAGAGUAAUAUAUGUAUGGUGUCAUGCAACAAUUCAUUUAUUAGGUUGUAGACUAAUGUUGUCUUCGUAUGUGUGAUGUUACAGUAACUAGCUACUCCCUCCUUUCCGGUUUAUAGGGCUUAUCUUAAAAUUUUAGUUUUUCCAUUUUAUAAGGCUCAAUUUGGUUGUUUCCCACCACAUGUUGAUAUUUCAAGGUGUAUUAAAUCAUUGCAUGCAAGUAUUAAGAGAAAAUUGACCAAUGCAUGUAAUUUAUGCAUGCAUGCAUUGCAAUUAAUGCAUUAGUAAACAUACUUUUUUGAGAAAAACAAGAGCAUUAAUUGGAUGCUUUUGCAAACUACAAAUAGUAUUUCAUCACUCACCAUCUACCUUGGUUGAUGAGAUUUUUGAAUUGAGCCUUAUAAACCGAAAAGGAGGGAGUAUGUUACCACAUGCCCUUCUUUCCUCAUUAAUUACUUGUCACAUCAUCUAUUUUGCCUAGAGAUAUGUGAUGUUACCACAUACUCCCUCCGUCCGGGUUUAUUGUGCCCUUCAACAAAAACUCAAGGACCAAGGUGAUGUAUUAAUUCUAGUAGCCUUUGAUUUCAGAGCAUGCAAACAGCCAACCCCCAUUAGCUCGCAUUUAUUCCCCUAGCUGAUUUAACGCUUCGUCUCUGCAUGUAGCCAAUCAAGCGCACGUCUAGCACUUGCCCGCUGUAAAGGCAUGCGGCUGGUUGCAUGCUUCGAUUUAAUUGCAGUUAAUCACGACUACCUCCAGCUAAUGACUGUACAACAUGCGGUGAGGAAUCGAGGCAAAGUAAACUCGUAAUUGCAGCGGCCUUAUAAAAACAGUCUCUGCGUUCUUUGCUCUCGGGCCUAAUAAAUCCGGACGGAGAGAGUAUGUAACAUGCUCCCUCCUUUCCUGUUUAUAAGGCUGGUCAUAGUGGGGAGUAACAUAGACUACUAACAUGCAUAUGUUACUAGUAACAUGUAUAUGUUACUAGUCUAUGUUACUACCUCUAUAGUGCAUAGUACUUCCUCCGGUCCUUUUUACUCUGCAUAUUAUAUUUGUCUGAAGUCAAUCUCAUCCAACUUUGACCAAGUUUAUAUAAAAAAUUAUAGACAUUCACAUAACAACACCAAUAUCAUUAGAUUCAUCUUAGAAUAUAUUUUCAUAUUAUAUUUAUUAGAUAUUAUAGAUGCUAAUAAUUUCUAAUAUAAAUUUGGUCAAACUUAGCAAAGUUUGACUUUCGGCAAAUCCAAUGUGCAGAGUAAAAAGGACCGGAGGGAGUAUCAUAGAUUAGUAUUAUAGCUGGUCUCAUUUAUUGCCAUGCAUGACACAUAGUAGCAUCACAUUUAUUAUGUUACGGUAUCUACCUAUGUUACUAUAAUCAUCUCUCUCUUCUUUAAUUGCCUGCCACAUAAGCAUGUUUGCAAAUCUCAAGUGCAUGAUGCUACUUAUGUUACCCCCACUAUGGCCAGCCUAAGGCUCAAAUCUGAAAUCUCAUCAACCAAGACAUGUGGUGAGUGGAGGAAUGUAUCUCGUACUUUACAAAACUACCCAAACUAAAUUGAUGCAUUAAUUAAGAUUAAUUGCAGUGCAUGCAUGUUUGGCCACUAGAUGGGUAGUAGCAUUACAUGCAUUGGUGAGUUUCUUUUUAGUUCUUGCAUUCAAAGAUUUAAUGCGCCUUGGAAUCUCAAGAAGAGAUGGAGAUGAGCCCUUUAAAUUAGAAAAAUAAAAAAAUUGAGAUAAGCCCUAUAAACUAGAAAGGAGGGAGUAGGUGGUAACAUCAUACUUAUCUAGGCAAAAUGAAUGAUGUGGCAUGUAAUUAAUGAAGAAAGAGAGGCAUGUGGUAACAUAGCUAGUUACUGUAACAUCACACUUAUCAAAAAAAGAUGAGUCUACAACCUAAUAAAUAAAGUGAUGCAUGACACAACACAUAUGUUACUACCCACUGUGGAGGUAGUAACAUAGACUAGUAACAUAUACAUGUUAGUACUCUAAGUUACUCCCCACUGUGACUAGUCUAAGACAGCAAAGCUCACAAAACAUUUGGGUCCGGAUUCAUUUGAAUGCUUGGAAAGUGAUGGGUCGGAUGGAGCCAUGGAGGUUGGCUGUUAAUGUAGAAGAAUUCAGUCGAUAUUUUUCCGCACUUUACUCAACCUGGUUUUAUUGAUGUGCGAGUAGAAAACAAACAUGGAAAUAUUUGGAGAUUAACUUGCUUCUAUGGAGAACCGACGUGGGAGAAGAGGCACCUCUCAAGGAGUAAUCGGAGCUAUCCGCACCAUCAAGCUAAUAUCCCUUGGUUUUUGGCUGGUGAUUUUAACAAGAUCUUGUAUUCUUAUGAAAAGGAGGGUGGUAACAUGAGUCUUAUUAAAUUGAUGGAGGAUUUCAAGAAGGUACUAGUUGACUGUGGGUUAGAGGACCUUGGUUACUCAGGAGAUAUGUUCACCUGGUGCAGAGGUCACAAUAAGGAAAACGUCUUCAUUGUGCUGUAGGGAAUGGAUUGUGGCAAAGUCUAUUUCCUGUGGCUACGGUAACAAAUGGAGAUCAUUGCAAGUUCGACCACCCUCUGCUUAUAAUUUAUCUAGAGCCGUUUGAUGCUCCAAUCCUUCGGUCAAGUGGAUGCAAGAAGUUUGAAGCUCGGUUGGUCACAAGAAAAAUUGAUGCAUGAAACUCUAGUUAAGGCAUGGGAUGGUGCAGCAGGGGUGACUAAUUUCGUUGCGCGUACAUCGCUAGUGCAUGCUGAGCUUCACCGGUGGGACAAAGAAUUUCCGAAGGCCCCAAAAAAGAGGCUGGAAGAUGUGAAAGUAAGGGCUCCUUUGAUUCAUAGGAUUGGAUCCUAUAGGAAUUUUUUCCAAGGAUUUUUAUGUACUGCUAUUUCCUAUAGGAUUUUUAGCAUCCAGUCAAUCUUAUUUGAAAGAUUACUUUGUUUUUCCUACGGUGCUAUCAAACAACCUAAAAUCUGUAUGAUUGAGAUGAGCAUAGCAUUCUAAUCCUAUGUUUUUCAUAUUUCCAAGUUUUCAGAAUCCCGUGAACCAAAGAGACCCUAAGGCUUGAGGUGGCCCGUAGCUAGGGAGCAGCCAAUAAAUGAUAAUUCAACUCGGUUAUGGGAAAUCUUAAUGGAAAUUGAAUAUGUACUAGAACAUGAGGAAAUUUAUUGGUUGCAAUGUCGCCGUGCAAAUUGGCUUAAGAAUGGAGACCGCAAUACUAUUUUCUUCCAGAAUUUUUCUUCAGCCCGAAAGAAACUGAAUUUUAUUAAACGACUCAAGGGGGAUCAUGGAAACUAGUGUGAAGGUAAUGAUAAUUUGGUGGUCCCAUUUCAUCUUAUUUUGCUAAUCUAUUUAGUGCGGAUGCUAUUAAUCCAAAUAUGGAUGCUAUUAAUAAAGUAAAUCUUAGGGUUACAAAGUAUAUGAAUGACUCAUUAACCGUGUUAGAGUAGUCAUUAUGGUAUACGACUUCUAGUCCAAGUCAGUUUUGUACCCCUACCCCAAGUCGGUUUGUACCCUCUUAUAUACUCUUGUAUGCCGCACCAAAUCAUCAAUAAGCAACAGUUUUAUUCAGCUUUCAUGGUAUCAGAUACCGGUCCCAGGGUUUAGGGUAUGGCUCCGCCAACGCCACCGCCGCCCGGCUACUUCGAGCGCCGGGCCGCACUCAUCGCCAAGGCUGCCAACGCCGCGGCCGCUUCUCUCUCGGCCCUCACCAUAGCUCCACAAAACUACCCUGCACCCAUCCUCGCCGCACCAAUAUCUCUUGCUGACACAAUCUCCGACGUCAGCCCCUACAUCCCCAUAGUUCUUGAUCUCGCCGCCCACAACUACUACCAUUGGAGACAUCUCUUCGAUCUCCACCUCGGUCGCUGCAACCUGCGCUCGCAUGUCGCCGCCAACUGUCUUCCCCGCCCCGACGAUCCGCAAUGGUUGAAAGACGAUCUCGCGAUCGUCCAGUGGUUCUACACCCGCAUCACCACCGAAAUCUUCAACAUGCUCGAUCACGACGGCGCCACCGCUGCCAACAUCUGGCACUCCCUCCGUCAGCUCUUCCAAAGCAACACCGACGCUCGCAAAAACGCUCUCCACACCGAGCUUCGCAAUAUGGUGCAAGGAGACGCCCCGGUGAACCUGUUCUGCCAGCGCGUUAAGACCAUUGGUGAUGAGCUCCGCGAACUCGGCGAUACAGUUAGCGACUCACAGCUAAUCAAUAUCGUCGUCAUCGGCCUCAGCGAAGACUUUGACAAGCAAGUCUCGUUCAUACCGAUGAUACGACCCCCUCCUACCUUCGCUGAAGUUCGUUCCUUGCUACAACUCGCGGCGGAAACACAAGCUCGCAAGGACUCUCGCCCCAAGGUCUUUCAUGCUGUGGCUCAUCCUCCUCUGCCGUCUACACCAGCGCCGCCUUCCAGGCCGGCUCCUGCCGCGGGGCCGUCCGCAUCGUCAUCUGUUCAACCGCCCCCAGGCUGGCGUCCUAGUCCGAACUACCGCGGCAAAAACCCUAUCUACAGGCCGCCGUCGACUCGUUCGGUUCCGCCUACGACAUCACCAGCACCGAGUCUUGCACCACCCACCAGUGCUCCAUCUGCGGUUGCAUGGCGGCCUCCUCAUGAUCCUUGGACGGGGCUUGUUCAAGCAUGGCCCAUGCCCUGGUCCGCUCCGUCCACCCUCGGUGCUCCGCCAGCAUACUCAGGAGCCUGGCAACCCGGCCUUCGGCCGCCUACUGGUGCUCCCGGGGUUCUCAACCCCCGACAGCCGGCCAAUGCCUAUCACGCCGCCCCGACGUAUGCUCCUUAUGGUCAUUACAGCACCGACGGCGGCGCCUACUACACACCUCAGCCGGCCGUGCUCCCGACGCCACCCCCACCACAGUCGGCCAAUGCCUACUACACUCCCCAGCCGGCCCUACUGCCUUCACCAUCGUAUCCGCCGGCACUGCUUCCGACGCCACCCUCACCUGCGACGCCGAGCUGGGAUCAAGCUGCCUUUCUCCAGGCCAUGAAUAACUUUGCUGCACAAGGAAACUCAGGUACGGAUUGGAUCUUUGAUUCAGGGGCCUCCAGUCAUAUGUCUGCAUCUAGUAAUUGGUUAUCUUCUUGCACUAAAUCUCCUUUCCCUUCCAUUAUCCUUGGAGAUGGAUCGUCUAUUCCUAUAUAUUGUGUUGGUCAGGCUCAACUUCCCUCUUCCACCAAACCUCUUUUACUUCGCGAUGUUCUAGUUGCACCCGCCCUCAUUAAAAAUCUUAUCUCUGUUCGCCAAUUUACUUGCGACAAUCUAGUUUCGGCUGAAUUUGACCCUUUUGGUUUAUCUGUGAAGGAUUACCUGACCAAGGCCGAGAUCGCUCGCUUCAAUAGCUCCGGUGAUCUUUAUUCUCUUAAUGGAGUUCCUGCCGCCACCCCUCCAACAUCCAUGCUGGCCUCCGUCGAUCUCUGGCAUCGUCGCUUGGGCCAUCCCAACCCCGCCGUCUUAGCUUCUAUGCUUAGUGAAUUUACCAUACCAUGUAAUAGGGACUCUCAUAAUUCUGUGUUUUGCGAGUCUUGUCAAUUAGGCAAACAUGUGCGUCUUCCCUUUAGUUCCUCUAGUUCUUGUAGCACUUAUCCCUUUGAAUUAAUACAUUGUGAUUUAUGGACCUCUCCCAUUGCAAGUGUUUCGGGUUUUAAAUACUACCUUGUUAUUCUAGAUGAUUUCACCCACUUUGUCUGGACUUUUCCUCUACGCAACAAAUCCGAGAUCCAUUCUCUUUUCCUUAAUUUUCAACGCUAUGUGUCUGUUCACUUCUUCCUCCCAAUUCUCUUUAUCCAAUGUGACAAUGGUCGCGAGUUUGAUAACAUUAAAAUCGUACUUUCUUCUUACAACAUGGCAUCCUGCUUAGGUUCUCAUGUCCCUACACCUCCCCUCAAAAUGGUAAAGCAGAACGCUCUCUUCGCACCCUCAAUGAUAUAGUUCGCACUCUCCUCAUUCAAUCAUCUAUGCCUCCCAAGUUUUGGGCUGAAGCCCUACACAUGGCCACCUUCCUUCUAAAUAUUCAACCUUCCAAAACUAAACCCAACACUACUCCCUAUUAUUCCCUCUUUCUUUCCCACCCCGACUACUCCGCGGUUCGUGUUUUCGGUUGUCUCUGUUUUCCCAAUGCCUACGCCACUUCUGCAAAUAAAUUGUCACCACGCUCUAUCCCAUGUGCUUUUCUCGGCUUCUCUGACGAGCACAAAGGCUAUCGCUGUCUCGACCUUCACACCGGACAUGUUCAUGUCUCUCGUCAUGUCACGUUUGCUGAGCACAUUUUUCCUUUCUCACAACGCACUACUACACCAUCCAACACCCCUAGCUCCACAAACACCCCCUCUCCCCGUCCUUUCCAACUCUAUACUCCCCUACCUGCCGAACACAACUUAUCACCACCACCAUUAACACCCACCAUAGCCAAUCCCAACCAUACACUCACCCCACCCGAGACGUCCCCAACACCCCCGACCCCUGCUCCCUCCCCAACACCCCCGGCCCCUACUCCCACUCCACCAUCCAGCCCUGCUCCCACUCCACUACCCAGCCCUACUCCUUCGUCCGACUCUUCCGCUGCGCCGGACUCACCAGUACCCACCUUACGCCCUCGUGCUAUUCCUACAGCAGCCCCGAUUAAUGAUCAUCGCAUGCGCACUAGGGCCAAAUCAGGAUUUCAUCAACCCCAAGACCGCCUAAACCUUCAUACCUCUGUAUCUCUCACUUCUCUUCCAAAGAAUUACAAAACUGCUCUACUUGAUCCCAAUUGGGCCGGUGCCAUGCAAGAAGAAUAUAAUGCUUUACUUCAAAACAACACCUGGCAACUUGUUCCUCGUCCUCCCAAUACAAAUAUUGUUUCUGGCAAAUGGAUUUUUCGCCAAAAGUUCCACUCCGAUGGGAGCCUCUCACGAUAUAAAGCCAGGUGGGUUUGUCGUGGCUUUUCUCAGCAAUAAGGAAUUGAUUACGAAGAAACCUUCUCUCCUGUUGUUAAACCUAGCACCAUUCGCACCGUUCUUAGUGUUGCUGUCUCCUUUCAUGGCCCAUUCACCAACUUGAUGUUAAAAAUGCUUUCCUCCAUGGUUCCCUUCAAGAAACUGUCUACUGCCAGCAACCUCUGGGUUUUGAAAAUCCAUCCUUUCCAACUCAUGUAUGUCUUCUUCAGAAAUCUCUCUACGGUCUUAAACAGGCCCCACGAGCUUGGUUUCAACGCUUCUCCUCCUUCAUUCAAACAAUAGGCUUCACUCCAUCUCUCUCCGACACCUCUCUUUUUGUGUAUCAUCAAACUUCUGACACUGCCUAUUUACUUCUCUAUGUAGAUGAUAUCAUUCUUACCGCCUCCUCUCAAAAGUUCUUAGAUCAUAUUGUCUCUCUUCUUAGAUCUGAAUUUUCUAUGACUGACCUAGGACUCCUUCAUCAUUUCUUAGGCAUUGCUGUUGUUCGAGAUUUCUCCAGCCUUUUUCUUUCCCAACGCCAGUAUAUUCUUGAUCUUCUUAAUCGUACUGGUAUGCUUGACUGUCAAUCAUCUCGCACUCCUGUCGAUACUAGUUUUAAACUUUCGGCUACCGGUGAACCCUUUUCCGAUCCUACUCUCUAUCGUAGCCUAACAGGUGCUCUCCAAUAUCUCACCAUUACUCGUCCUGAAAUCUCUUUUGCUGUUCAACAAGCAUGUCUCUAUAUGCAUGAUCCCCGGGUUCCUCACUAUAAUCAUGUUAAACGCAUUCUUCGGUAUUUAAAAGGAACUCUCAAUCAUGGUCUCCAACUCAAUAAUUCUUCUCCAAACUCGCUUACCGCAUACUCUGAUGCAGACUGGGCUGGUUGUCCCGACACUCGAAGGUCCACUUCCGGUUUUUGUGUUUUUCUUGGUAACAAUUUGAUUUCUUGGUCUUCGAAAAGACAGGUUACAGUCUCACGUUCGUCGGCCGAGGCUGAGUACCGCGUUGUGGCACAUGCCAUUGCAGAUACAAUCUGGAUUCGACAGUUACUCUCCGAGCUACACAGGCCUAUUGAGCAGGCCACUAUUGUCUACUGUGACAACAUAUCAGCAGUCUACAUGACCAGCAAUCCAGUUCAACACCGACGCACAAAGCAUAUUGAGAUUGAUAUUCAUUUUGUUCGUGAAAAGGUUGCUCUUGGUCAGGUUCGGGUGCUUCAUGUUCCCUCUACGGCUUAGUUUGCUGACAUUUUCACCAAGGCACUGCCUACUAAGCCGUUUCAAGAUAUCUGUUUCAGUCUCAACGUCGUCGAGCCUACCGUUGAUACUGCGGGGGGAUGUUAGAGUAGUCAUUAUGGUAUACGACUUCUAGUCCAAGUCAGUUUUGUACCCCUACCCCAAGUCGGUUUGUACCCUCUUAUAUACUCUUGUAUGCCGCACCAAAUCAUCAAUAAGCAACAGUUUUAUUCAGCUUUCAAACCGCUCCAUACACAACGGAAGAAGUGAAAAAGCCUUAUUUAGCAUUGAUGAUCUCAAAGCCACUGGUCUUGACAAACUUCACAUGGGUUUUUAUUAAAAAAAUGGUCGUUGCUUGGGGAUGAUUUAGUUUCGGCUAUUCUGAAAGCUAUUAACUUGGGUACAAUACCGAAGGGAUGGAAUGACACCACACUUGUGCUCAUUCCAAAAACUAAUAAUCCGUAGAAUAUCACACAAUAUCGUCCCAUCAACUUAUGUAAUGUAGUCUACAAGGUAAUAUCCAAAAUGAUGGCAGAUAGGUUGAAAGUGUUACUUCCAGGGUCGAUAAGUGUAGGAACUAAGUAUAUCUACCAAAGGAGGGUGUGAAUGGGAGAUUUAAAAUUUAUUUCGAUAAAAACAUCAAAUCCCUCAGAACAUGGCAGCGGAAUAGAUGGAACAGAAACAAGUCACGAAGAAUAACUACCGAAAAACAAUAAGAGUGAUUACCGAACACAAAUAACAUGGUUGAAACUUAAACGAAGAUAUACUAUCAAAGAUAAAACAAGAUUAAGAUGAAACCAGUUAUGCUCGAUGACAACAAAGGAUUUGGUAGACCUGUUCGCCCUUCUACAAAAGGACUACGUAUGGUUGGAGGGACUUGUGAUUCAACACGUAGCUCUCAAGAGUAAAAGAUGGAGCGUACUAAACUUAGAUCUCUAUGAUGCUAAAUCACUAUCUAUAUUUUUGGCUCUUGGGGCUUUCUCUUGGUGGAUUUUAUACUCAAAUCUUCUGGAGAGAGGGUGCUCACACAAACUUCUCGAAAUCACAGAGCAGACAACAAUUCACGGUGGAGUGGGGUGGCUAUUUAUAGUCGCAGCAUUCCCUUAUGGGAAAGGACCAUGUAGGACAUGGAGUCCACCAAUGGCCAACCGACACGUUUCCAAUGGUCGUAUUUCAAACACCACUGACAACUUACUUGGGGAACAAGUAAGAUGACUCCUCGAUCCUAAGAAAAUCUCUCGCAGUCCAGAAGGGACCGACGAGUAUUUAUUCGGAACAUAAAGAGAUUUCUCUCCACUUUCAUAGAUUACAGUUUAGCAUCAGAGAAACAAAAGUUUCAAACACUAUAUAUACUCCUCUUAAUAGUAGAGUGGUCCUAUGACUCAAGAAAGAGAAAAUGAUCUAUGAAAGAAAAUAUUGCGUCUUUUCUCUGUUUUGAUUCUUCUCGGCUACAGUCAAUUUCUUCGGACAGACAUCGAACCAAUUGCUUUGCGUCAACAAUUUUUCGGGUCAAUUCGACACACUUAAUCUUCGGUGAUAAUAUUUGCUGCCCCGCAGGAGAUUAUCUUCGGAGCUUGUUUCAAACUCCCCAUGACUCUAGGGACCUAUUCUCUUUGUGUGUACUAGCAAACACAUUAGUCCCUCUCUGUUACCAACAACAAUCUUCAACUUACAAGGAGGCAAAUAUUGCACCAACAAUAAGUGACACUCAAAACACAUUUGUUCCGGGACGUAUUAUUACAGAUAAUGUUAUAGUGGCUUAUGAGUGUCUUCACACAAUGAAGAUAAAGAAACUAAAUAUUGGCAUGUGUGCGGUAAAAUUAGAUAUGCACAAAUCAUAUGACCGUGUUGAAUGAAGUUUUCGAAGAGCCAUUCUUCAUAGAAUGGGCUUCUCAAUGGCACUAGUCGAAAUGAUAAUGAAGUGUGUGGGCACACUAAGAUAUCAUGUCAUGUUCAAUAGUUUUGAGAUGGAUGAGAUUAUACCCACAAGGGGGCUUCGACAGUGGGAUCCUCUUCCCCCUACCUAUUUCUCCUUUGUACUAAUGGAUUGACAACAUUUAUAAAUGAGAAAAAAGGAACAAUUAUUGUAAAGGGGUGCAGGUAUGUGGAGAUUCGCUAUAGGCCACAAAUCUUUUAUUCGGUGGCAAUUCAUUAAUCCUUAUGAAGGCAGACUCACAGAAUGCAAUGGCCCUUCGCAAUUUUCUAUUAGAUACUGUGAAUCUUCAGGGCAAUUAGUAAGUGAAACUAAAUCCUCUAUUUACUUUAGCCCGAAUACUGAAGUUACAACUGAGGCCGAAGUUUGCCACAUACUAAAUAUACUCGUUGAGUCGCUAUUAGAUAAGUACCUUGAUUUACCCAAUUACCCUUGAUGGUGGGCCUUGAUAUGUCAGAGUGUUUUAUGCAUAUUAAUGAUCUGGUGGAUCAAAUGGUGAUGGUUGUAAAGAGAAAACCAUGUACCUUGGGGGCAAGGAAAGCGGUUGCUUAGGCAAUCCCAACAUAUUAAAUAUGUAAUGUCCGUCCUUAGUCUCCUAAAUAAAAUCCGCAAGGGAAUCACCAAUGCGAUGACACAAUAUUGGUGGGUUGAUGAUGAGAACCAGUGAAGAAUGCACUGGCUAGCAUGGUGGGCAACGUGUGUUCCAAAGCAUAUUGGACGAAUGGGAUUUAGUGACUUGGGUAGGUUUAAUAAAGCCCUCCGGGCAAGAAUGUUUGCGUAUGAUUGAAAAUAAUGAAUCCUUAUGUGCAAGAAUUCUCAGGGCUAAAUAUUAUCUGGAUAGCAAUAUCUUGUCAGUUAAGUUCACGAAGGGCUAUUCAUAUGUUUGGCAAAGUAUUUGCUCAGGUACCGAGACUUUGAAUCAAGGUUAUAUAUGGAGAAUUGGAAAUGGCUUAAAUGUUAACAUUUGGGAUGAUCCAUGGAUCCCUACGUAGCUCCAAGAAAAUAGUUAUGAGGUGACACUUCUCACUAUGGUACACGAGCUUAUUGAUCUGACUACUGGACAAUGGGAUUAAGUAUUAAUUAGAGAUAAUUUUGAGGGAGUUAAUGCAGACAGAAUCCUCCAAAUCCCACUUUCAAAUCUAGAGAUGGACGAUUUUGUUGUUUGGCGGUAUAGAAAGUCUCAUAAUUUCACGGUGCGAUCAACCUACUACCUUGAGUGGAAUAUUAGGUUUGGUAGCAAUUUUGAAGGAAGUAACAUCCAAGGUGGAUCAGCGGCCAACCCAAUUUCGAAGGUACUAUGGAAAUUAAAAUUCCCAGUCGAAGUCAAGGUUCAUGUGUGGAGGAUAUUACUGUGUGUGAUUACAUGUAAAUUUAUUCUUGCUGACCGGCAUAUGAAAAUUCAUAUUGUAUGUCCUAUGUGGCAAGUGCAUAUUGAAGACAUAUGACAUGCUUUAUUUGAAUGUGUUUGAGCGCAAAAAGUUUGGAAAACCCGAGCUUAAUGGAAAAAGUUGAAGAGCUUUGAUUGUUGACAGGGUUGGUUCGGUUGUACUAGAGGAACUGAUUUGUAGUUCGACUCAUGAUCCACGCUAUUUGCUCAAAUCCCUGUAUCAUGUCUAAUUGCAGUGGCUAGUUGGUUCAUAUGAUGGAAAGGAAGACAAUGCACAAAAGGAGAAAAUAUCCCUAAACCUAAACGUUCUAUUUUCUCAAUACAAGCCCUUGCUUUGAACUUUUGCCGGGCAUGUAUUGUUCAAUUUUCGGCAAAAGAGGUAAUGUGGGCUAAACCACCACAAGGUACACUCAAGUUGACUAUAGAUGCAUCAUUUGAUGACGAAAGGAAUACUGCCUCCAUGGGUGCGAUUUUGAUAGAUUGUGUUGGCUUCUUUAUCACAGCUGAAAUCUAUUAUAUGGGGACUAUCAAGUUAUUUGCGUUUUCCGCUACAAUGAUACAAUGUUUGAACUAACCUUGGGCUAGAUUUUGUAUUAGACAAUGCUAUUUCGUAUCCUUGUGAUGUACUAAAAUGAUGCAUUCGUGUUUGAUAUUAUACUAUAUCGGUACCGUGUGUGAUGGUGAAUCGAUCCGCACUGACAUGGUAAGCAUGGAUCGCUGAACCCUAUCAGGUUGGUCGUUACACCUGUGUACGGGGGACGUGGACGGAUACAUCCUGAGAGCGGCAUCUACCAAUCUGGCAAAGAGGGUGUCGCCGGCUGUGAGCGUUGUGGGCGACGAUUUGCAAGGGGAACGGCCUCGCCAGAGCUAUGCAGGACCAUAUAAUAGACGAUUUGCGUGCGUUGACUUAUUCUGCUGCGGAACCAUCGAUCCAAACAGACGUUAAGAACUGAAUCCGGCGACUCGAGGCGACCGGUCAACCGGCGACUACCGGUGCCCAUUCCUUUAUCAGCAGAGUACUCUUGUCAGCAUCCCGUUCAGAACUUUUCUAUCAAAACAUUGUAUAUCCGUACGUGCAGCGUGCAUGCAUGUUUUAACUUUUCUUUUCUUUCUCAGCUUAGAUAGAUCGAUCAGAAAAAGAUUCUUUUACCUCUUUCCAGGAAGCACUACGGUGACUAGAUGUAGCAAAAGGAGAUUCUUUCACACCCUAACUUCCGCGAAUUUUCUGCAUCGAUCCGUAGUCAUCUGCCCACGGUUUUCCUGAAACCAUGUACUCCAUCGGAUAUUAGGUUCACUGAUCCAUCGGAUAUUCAGAUGGACUACUAGAGAAGAGACAACAGAAUCAUAACAAUAUAGGAACAAUUCGGCACAUGAACUGAGAAUACAGCAGGAAGCAGCAGCCAGCAAUUGCUUCAAAAACACCAUAAUAUAGCAAACAGAACACAAUGACCAGAACAAUGAAAAAUACCAGUACGAGGCAGCGCUUAUUAUCACCCCGUCUUCUCCCUCCCACGGCAAGGAGUAUACAGUACUAGAUGGAAUGAACCACCAUAUAGUCGAACCACACUUAAUUAAACACAGUACACGAAACAAAGCAAACGGGAGAGAUCGAAGGGGCGCGCUUGCUUGCUUCCCUACACGAAUGCGGCGGCGGCCGCCGCGGCGCCAGCGGUGCGGAGGAUCUGGUAGUAGACCUGCGGGUUAGCCACAAACGCCGUGCGGGAGAUGAGGAAGCCGGCGGCACUAGGCGCCUUCAUCAUGGCGCCGGCCGCGGCGGGGGCGGCCGCAGCGGGCCAGAGGAAGUAGGCGCCCACGGCGCCCCCGAUGACCAUCGCCGCGGUCCCCACGGCGCCGUCGCGCGUCGAGACCAUGGCCGCUGUAUGGUUCUUGACGUAGCUGAGACCUGCGACGAUGUCGCCGGUGUUCAUCCCGGUAAGCCUUGCGGGCAGGUACUGAUUGGCCAAUGAGACGGUGGAGGCCACGGCCGCUCCUGUAUGGUUCUUGACGUAGCCGAGACCCGCGACGAUGUUGCCGGUGUUCAUCUCGGUUAGCUUUGCGGGGAGGUACGGCUUGGCCAACGAGACGGUGGAGGCCACGGCGCUCGCCUGUUGCUUGACGAGGUCGAGGCCGGAGAAGAGGAGGUCGCGGGUGUUCAUCUCGCCUGGUUUUCCUUUCCGACUUGUGGUUAUCUGUGUGGAGUCUGGACUAACCUCACUAGAUGGAUAGACGAAGCAAGGCAAAGCAUGGAUUUAUAGCGACGAAUGUGAUCUAUACCUAGGCGACGACCUUGACUACGUACCAACAGUACUACUAGUACUACUAUCGACUUUACGUUGGAAAAACACAGCACUAAUCAUGUCACCAUAUGAAAAAGAAUCCAAAGAUGAGGAAAGAGGCGACAAAAUCAUUCAUGGCUGGUCCCUACGUCCGCACUCGCCGAAAGCACCGGGCGUGGCGCGGAAGGCAGUCACCUCGACCAGGACGUUGUGUUUAAGAUCUGUAGAAGUUCACCCAAAAAAAACAUCAUUUUUUAAAAUUAUUUUCCUUUUUUGCUGGGGAAAAAGGAGUUUUAUUCCACAUUGAGGCAGUUACAGUCGAGAGGCAAAAUGUCCUCAAUACAUGGUGGUCCUGUGUGCAUUCACACAGCCGUGGCACACUCUAUACGACUAUUUAUUCCCCCUUCUUUUUUAUGAUUUUUGCAAUGUGUAAUAUACAUUCAUAUGAACAUGUUGAAUUUUUAUCAGAAUUUUUUUAAACUUAGGAAUACCAUUUUAGCACUAUUCCAAAUAUAAGGCUCGCGAGCUCAUCCACCAAAGUGAUUUUUUGCUAUUCCUACUUUUUUCGAAUAAAGCUAUUCUUACUCACUAAGUUUGCACCACUUCAUGUCUCCGAGCGUUCCUGCCUCAGGAUCCGUACGUGCAUUAUGCGUGUCGUACUUCAAAUGUUGGAGUCUUCAUACGGGACAAAAGCUAGUGACUAGAUCGAUCAAAAGGAGAUUCUUUCACCUGCUACCACGAUGCGACCACAAAACAGAGAAUGGUUUAAUAACUUUGCCACUAAUUUUGUCGUGUCACAUUUCAAGUUGAUACUAGUACCAGGGACGUAGCGGUAAAAACAUAUUUUCUCCGUCUGAAAUUACUUGUCUUAGUUUUAGAUACAUCUUUUUUUAUCCAUUUUGAUGACAAGUAUUUCCGGACGGGGGAGUAAUAUACAAGAGGAAUUCAACUCAAAAAAGCUAUAUAAGAGGAAAAUGGUACCAAGGCCUUGGCCUGACCGUUCAUUUAUUAAAAGAAAAAACCUGAACAAGCACCAGUUUGGGGUAGUAUGUCUGUAAAUCUGAACACACACACCGUGUGUGUGUGUGUCCUUGAAUAUUGAGAAUAUCCUAAUAGGAGUGAAUCUGAAUUGAUAAUGUAUUAUCAAUUAUAUUGGCAGGGAAGACCCUCAAUAUAAAAAUAUAAAUAAAUAGACAAAUAGAUAAGAAGAGCAAGCUCAAACAUGGCCAGAUGCUUCAAAGAAGAAGGCGGAAUUUUGAGUCAAGCCAACGGUGUGAGUCAAAUAAGACAACAAUGUGAGUUACGAGAAGAUGAGAAGACAGCAAUGUGAGUAACGAGAAGCUGUCAGUUUGUCGACCGCUCUCACAAAGGCAUCCUUAUCCAUGCUCUAGGUGGACACGUAAGAAGGCUAUGCCAUUUGAAUAAAGAGGAGAAGGCUCCCGAGCACCUCCCUCGUGGCUAUAAAAGGAGAAGUUGGCCUCAGAGAGGCAAAACACACACACAGAAGAGAUGUAGUCCAGAGCUUCGAGCAAGAAGAGCAGCAUCCAGAGCACUCUCAGUUAGCUUAGUAGUAGUACCAACACCACUUGUAAAAUAGCCACUAUAUCGAAGAUGUUGUAAUCGCCAAGAAUAAUAAGGUAUCUUUUUCAGCUUGUGUAACCCCUUUGGGGCCUCCCGAAAGGGAGAACCACAUGUAAAUUAUGUUGUGAAAAUGAUGUAGUUUCGUGCUUCACUUGGGUUUUUUAUUUAUGAAUUUAUGGGAUGAGUUCUUAUGUUAGGGACCCUACAGGAGAAACUCUGCUAGUAGUUCUCUGUUUAGCCUUGUGUGGCGUUUGAAUGAGAACAUUAUGCCCGUAGAGAAGUGUUUCCUUCAGGUGAAAUUGCCUGCGAAGACGAUAGGAAUUUAUCCCAUAAGUUUGCAUUUAAAAAGAUCAAGUGAACGAACCUAGCUACAUCUGAAAACAACAUAAUGAAAAAUAUGAUGAGUACUAAGUAGGAUACAACACCACUGCGCACAUCACCGGUUGUACUGUUGGCCUCACCAGCCCUUAAUAGAUCAAGCAUUAGAAAAUAACUAGCUUGGUAAAGAAUAGAACCUGCAAACAAUAGCAAAGAAUUAAAUAUUGUAGUGAAUAGUGAAUACUAUUCAAAUAGAAUAUUAGCGUAAUCGUAGAUUAGCCUAAUCGCAUAUUAGCUUAUUAACUUAAUUGCAUAUUAGGCCAUUAGGUUAAUAUUCUAUUUGAAUAGUAUUCACUAUUCACUAUAAUAUUUAAUUCUUUGCCGCUGUUUGCACGUUCUAUUCUUUAUUAAGCUGAUUAUUUUUUAAUGUAGCAUCUAUUAAGGGAUGACGAGGCCAACAAUACGACUAGUGGUGUGGGUAGUGAUGUGAUAUCCUACUCAGUACUCAUCAUAUUUUUCUUUAUGUUGUUUUCAGAUGUAGCUAGGUUCGUUCACUUGAUGUUUUUGAAUACAAACUUAUGGGGUAAAUACCUAUCGUCUUUCCAGCGGUUGCACCCGAAGGGAAUACUUCUCUACGACCACAACAUUCUCAUUCAAACACCACAAAAGGCUAAACAGAGAACUACUGAUGGAGGUUUCUGAUGACCCACAAGUGUAGGGGAUCUAUCGUAGCCUUUUCGAUAAGUAAGAGUGUCGAACCCAACGAGGAGCAGAAGGAAAUGACAAGCGGUUUUCAGUAAGGUACUCUCUGCAAGCACUGAAAUUAUCGGUAACAGAUAGUUUUGUGAUAAGGUAAUUUGUAACGGGUAACAAGUAAUGAAAGUAAAUAAGGUGCAGCAAGAUGGCCCAAUCCUUUUUGUAGCAAAGGACAAGCCUGAACAAACUCUUAUAUAAGGGAAAACGCUCCCGAGGACACAUGGGAAUUAUCGUCAAGCUAGUUUUCAUCACGCUCAUAUGAUUCGCGUUCGUUACUUUGAUAAUUUGGUAUGUGGGUGGACCGGUGCUUGGGUGCUGUCCUUCCUUGGACAAGCAUCCCACUUAUGAUUAACCCCUAUUGCAAGCAUCCGCAACUACAAAAGAAGUAUUAAGGUAAACCUAACCAUAGCAUCAAACAUAUGGAUCCAAAUCAGCCCCUUACGAAGCAACUCAUAAACUAGGGUUUAAGCUUCUGUCACUCUAGCAACCCAUCAUCUACUUAUUACUUCCCAAUGCCUUCCUCUAGGCCCAAACAAUGGUGAAGUGUCAUGUAGUCAACAUUCACAUAACACCACUAGAGGAGAGACAACAUACAUCUCAUCAAAAUAUCGAACGAAUACCAAAUUCACAUGACUACUUAUAGCAAGACUUCUCCCAUGUCCUCAGGAACAAACAUAACUACUCACAAAUCAUAUUCAUGUUCAUAAUCAGAGGGGUAUUAAUAUGCAUAAAGGAUCUGAACAUAUCAUCUUCCACCAAAUAAACCAACUAGCAUCAACUACAAGGAGUAAUCAACACUACUAGCAACCCACAAGUACCAAUCUGAGGCUUUGGGACAAAGAUUGGAUACAAGAGAUGAACUAGGGUUUUAGAGGAGAUGGUGUUGGUGAAGAUGUUGAUAGAGAUUGACCCCCUCCCGAUGAGAGGAUCGUUGGUGAUGGCGAUGGCGAUGAUUUCCCCCUCCCGGAUGGAAGUUUCCCCGGCAGAACAGCUCUGCCGGAGCCCUAGAUUGGUUCCGCUAAGGUUCCGCCUCGUGGCGGAGGAGUUUCUUCCCGAAAGCUUGCUUAUGAUUUUUUCCAGGGUAAAAGACUUCAUAUGGCAUAAGAUGGUCACCGGAAGCCUGCUAGGGAGCCCAUGAGGCAGGGGGCGCGCCCCCACCCUCGUGGCCAGGGUGUGGGCCGCUCUGGUUAAUUCUUCCUCCAGUAUUUUUUAUUAAUUCCAAAAAUAACUUCCGUGGAGUUUCAGGACUUUUGGAGUUGUGCAGAAUAGGUCUCUAAUAUUUGCCCCUUUUCCAGCCCAAAAUUCCAGCUGCCGGCAUUCUCCCUCUUCAUGUAAACCUUGUAAAAUAAGAGAGAAUGGGCAUAAGUAUUGUGACAUAACGUGUAAUAACAGCCCAUAAUGCAAUAAAUAUCUAUAUAAAAUCAUGAUGCAAAAUGGACGUAUCAUUUUCUCCUAUAGGAUCUUUAGCAUAAGAACUCGUUCCAUAAAUUCAUAAGUAAAAAUACCAAGUGAAGCACGAAACAACAUCAUUUUCACAACAUAAUUUUCAUAUGGUUUUCCCUUUCGGGAGGACACGAAGGGAUUACAAAAAAAGGAUACAUUAUUAUUCUUGGCAACUAUAGCACCUUAGAUAUGGUGGCUAUUCUACAAGUGGUGGUUGUACUACUACUAAGGAAACUGAGAGUGCUCUGCAGGCUGCUCUUCUUGCUCGUAGCUCUGGACUCUGUCUCUUCUGUAUGUGUUCUCCGAAGCGCUCAGACCUCCUACUUUAUAGUGUGGGAGGGAUGCUAGAUGCUCCCUUCUUUAUUCUUCCACGUCAUACUUGGAACCUGGAGUAAACUAUAGCUUGACGCCUUAUGCACCGCUGAAGUGCCUCAAACUUUGCACAAUCAAGCCUUGCAUGACUCUCAUGCUAGAUUGGUGUUUUUGUCUAGAGUGAGUAUUUUGUCUAGAGUGAGAACUUUCUCCAGACUGAGAACUUUGUCCAGACCGAAGGCUUUGUCAUGGUUGAAAUCC
This 82568-nucleotide long non-coding RNA is filed under the name Triticum aestivum (bread wheat). RNAcentral describes it as "long non-coding RNA (TAES_LNC023823)". The record is from RNAcentral. Lineage: Eukaryota; Viridiplantae; Streptophyta; Magnoliopsida; Poales; Poaceae.